Molecule: long non-coding RNA, 59914 nt
Filed under: Elaeis guineensis (African oil palm)
Lineage: Eukaryota; Viridiplantae; Streptophyta; Magnoliopsida; Arecales; Arecaceae
Description: long non-coding RNA (EGUI_LNC022433)
Source: RNAcentral
GGGAAAGUGGGGUCACAUCAAGAAGAACAAUGUCGCUAACAUCUCCAGCCAGCACCCCUGCCUGAAAUUAAACAAAAUAAUAAAUAUGUGCUUCUUCCACAUUCAAUCAUAACUCAUAUUUCAAAAUGAUUGGAAGCAGCAUCUUAUAAGUCUACAGUCAAAUGAUCGAUAUUGCUAUAUGGACCAGACCCACCACCUUAGCAUAGAGCCCAUUUUUUAUCAAGGAUCAUAUAUUUAAUAUAUUGACUUUAUGUUCAUCAAUAUUGCUUUUCGAUCAAUAAACAAAUCACAAAGCUAUAAUGCUUGGGGACACAAUAAGAAAAAAAUGAUAUUAAAACCCAACCACCCUUAUUUUUAUGAUUUACCCAUAAUAAUAUAUACUGUGAUGUUGUAACAUGCAUUCCGCAAUCAAUAUUUCCCAGACAUAGUAAACAUACAAGGAAGACAAGUACAAAGAAGAAGCUUACAUGGUGUCUUUUCAGAAUCCAGGAACAAUGACGUGCCUGCUUCUAUAAAUCUUUAAAUGCAUAUAGAUAUAAGCACAUAUAGAGUCAGCCAAUUAGACAGAGUGCUCCCACAAUUCAGAAAGUUGGUAAUACCUUUCAUGAUGUAGCAUUGAGGUUGACAUGAAAUUCAGGAUCUACUCAGUUUAAAGAUUUAAGUGUCAAGCAUCAAGAAGCAUUAGUCCAAGUUAAAAAAUGUCAAGUUGAAAUCUGAAGUGAUGUUUAUUAGCAACAAAAUGCAUCAACAGAACUCAUAAUGUGAGUUGGACCUUAUACAAUUUUAACAUUUAAAAUAUUGCAUGUUUUUCAUACACACCGUAGAAGAAGACCUAAUUAUAUAUUGGGUUUCCACAUGUAUCAUUGUAUGGCUCCUCUGAGACUUUCAGAUGUGUGUAAGCCUACAAAUUGUAGCAGUGAUAACGGUACUAAAUCUUCUGGAUUGAAUGGCAUAUUAUAGUCUUAUAAUAAUUAAAACAAUAUUGUUACUGGGAACACAAAUAACAUCUUUAAAACAAUCAGUAUACACUUGCUACAUGUAACAUGGGAAUAUCACUUUCUUUGUUCCUUUCUUUUUUAAUUUUUUUGCCAAGUGCUAGAAAUAUGCCAUGCACCUAACAUUUGAGUAGAAAUCUGACAAGAAACUGCUGUCAUGUAGUUAACAGUGCAAUGAAAGAAGCUCCCCCCCCCCCCUCCUUUUUCAAUAGCAUAUUCGCUUGACUUAACAUUUUGAACAUCCUCAACAACUUUCACUUAGGAAUAUUGAACAUUACCACCAAUUCCAGUGUUUUAAAUAGCAGAUCCACUGGUCAUGGCAAUCGAUCGCUCAAUAAAAGGAUGUUCAUUAGUGAUGACAUUAAAAUUGUGGGUUGAAAUUGGAUUGCCCAUUACAAACAGAUAAUCAAGAGUCAUACUGCCCCCAUCUCUACAAGAAGAUGGAGGAAUGUUAAAAUAAUAAGCACAUAUAUCAAAGUGACUAACCUGUACUGCAGCUCCAAGAGCAACAACUUCAUCAGGAUUGACGGUAACAUUAGGAUCCUUUCCAGUCAUCUUCUUCACGAGUUCCUGGACAGCUGGGAUUCGAGUUGAACCACCCACCAGAAUAACUUCAUCUAGGUCCUUGAAUGAGAGUUUUGCAUCUCUCAAGGCAUUAUCUACAGGUCUUCUAAGCCUAAAAGACCAAUAAGAAACACGAGCAAUUGGUUGAUCAGAAUAGCAAAUAAAUGGUCAAAUAUAAGGCAUAAUAGAAACACAACAUUUAAAAGGCUGGAGGACCCAAUUUUGAUAGUGUCAAAUGGAUAUUUCGCACUGAUCACGCACUCAGGUGUCAGACUUUUAUGCAAGGAUCUAAAACCAUCCAAUCAACCCAUAUAUAAAUUUCAAACAACUUCGCACGAAAAUUUAGGCAGUAUAGAACAGUCCCUUUUUUUUUAUUAUCAGCCCAGAUUUUAAGUUGCAGGCAUAUAACCAUCAUAGAUCUUCACAUAGCAGAACUUUGUCAUCAAAGACCGCACAUAAAUGCAUCAACUGUCAGAAGGGCAUCAAUUAUGAAGAAUAUAGUCCAAUUGACCACUAUGUUCAACAGAACACGGUACUAAUAUAACAAACCAAUCCCUUUCUUUUUGUUGACCCAUAAGAAACUCAUCAACAUGACCAAAGAUGAAAUAUACCUGUCCAGAAGAUCUGAACACAACUCCUCAAACUUGGCUCUUGUUAGAGUUGCUUCAAUGUGCUUGGGACCAUCAGCAGUUGCGGUAAUAAAUGGCAAGCUACCAUAAAGCAGUAAAAACAAUCACUUAAAAACAUCAGGAAAAGUAAAACAAAAAACUGCCAAAGGUAUGAGAGAUCAUGAACAUGAAAAGUCACCUUAUAUUUGUCUGCGUCAAGGUUGAUAAUUCCAUCUUGGCCUUCUCUGCUGCCUCAGUGAGUCGCUGGAGGGCUUGCUUAUCUUUCAGAAGAUUAAUGCCUUCCUCUCUCUUAAAGCUUGCAGCCAGCCAAUCAACAAUUCUCUGCCCAAACACAUAUGAACAAGAGUUAGUUUAGGGAUAUUUGAACCAACUUUAUGUGCAUGUUCCCUAUUUUGGUGUAAAGUUGUGCAUAUGCAAGUCCAAAAAACAUAAGGCAGAACAUUAUUGUCCUCUUGUAUAUGAGGAGGUCAAGAACUGCUGUCAAGCACAUCUAUGUAACAUGAUGUGCAACAACAAGGCAUACACUAGCAAAGGGAUAAAGGAGACUGGGCACACGGCAUGCACAAAGAAAAAAAAUGACUUAAUGUUCGGCCUUUUGGAUGUCAUGAAAUUUUAACAUAUUGGUACCAAAGAUUGCAAGUUGUACAAAGAAUACAUUGUGCAUAACCAUUUCAUAGCAGUUUGAUCACAUAACAUAGUGAGAUAAUGUAAAGCUUUGCAUUCAGUGUGGAAAUCAAAAUAAUAACCUUAACAGUCAGCAUUCAGUCAGUCUCAAUAAGCCAUACUUAAAGGCAGUUAUCUUAAUUCACUGUGCAAAAAGUAGGUCCCAAUAUAGCAACCCAGACUUACUGUUUUGCUUCACAAAGCACAGUGGGGUAAUUGGAUGGCCUGCAUAUGGUAGCAUGUUCCAACAUAGAUUGAUACAAUGAAGGAAACCUACCAAUCCAUUUCGCACAGUCCUGUUUGCCCUCAAAUGUUAAGAUCAUUACAUUGCCACACACAGAAGUAUGGCACAAGGAGAAAGGCAACAGAACCAAAACAAACAAAGCUGGCCUGACAGUCAUGCACAAAAAUUGGCUAGGCUGCACACCACAAAAAACCAAGUCCACUAGCAGAACUAGAAACAAGUAUUAUAAUCUAUAACAUUCCAGCCUCACCCAAGAAUUUAAGUGCAGGUGGAAUGGGGCAUGCUAUCUGGCACAUGUGCCAUGCUGUGCCAAAAUUUGAAAGGCCCUUAUUUAAUUAAAAAUAUUUUAAAAGGUGCUCAUGAGUGAAGUGCCAACCCAUGCCAGGUGUUGGUGCUGGUCCAACACAUGAAACCAUGUAUUCAUCUCUCAAUUGCUAGGUAAUGAAAGAAACAUUCAAACAACCUUGUCAAAAUCAUCACCACCAAGGUGUGUGUCCCCAGAAGUUGAAAGGACUUCAAAAACACCAUCUCCAACCUCGAGAACUGCAACAGAUUGUAAUUAAAUCCAUUAUUGAAAGGGAAGAAUAAAAUAUCUGCUGUUAAAGCUACGAAUGAUCAUCUCAGAAAAAUAUGCAUUGCAAAACCAGUAUCUAAGAGUAAUAUGAAUAAUAUACAAAUUUGUCUGAUUCAUGAUAUGCAUGGGUUGUGUGGCAUUCAUGAUAAUACGUGUAUACAUGUUGUUGGUACCUGACACUUCCAGAUAAUAUUAGACAUUGCGGUAAAGUAUUAGAUCUCCAGUGGCUUGAGUAGGUCAUCAUGGAAUAUGGAAAGCUUGAUGGCAAUGAAGGUCAGGACAUGAUCACAUAUAAAGAAUGAUCCAGAAGGUAAAAUCUGAACCUACCACCUAAUAAAUGUGAAACGACUGAAGCGUCCAUAAGCUUGGCUGACCAUACUGAAAUCUAAUAGCAUUCACUUUAAUCAACUCAAUAAAUUUAUAAAUUUGUGUUUUAUAUUCUUAUGAUGCUAGGGUAUCAACAUACAUUGAAGUUGUCCAUGACAACCAUGGAACGAUUUCACUUGCACAAGGUUUAAUAUAAACAACAGAAGAAAAAUAAGUUAAGGAAAAUCAACAAAUUGGACUGUUUACGUUGUCCUUUUUCUUUCUCUCUUCCUAAAGUAAUAUUCAUUGUUAUUUCCAUUGCAUAUGCCUCUACAACCUUUAGGUGCGAACCCACAAUUUCAUUCAAUUCUUCAAAAUCCUUAAGCUGCAUAAAAAUUUCGUUUAUUAUCUUUUCCAAACUUUCACAACAUGAGAACAUUUCAACCAGUAAGAGUGUAAUACAUAUUUGUCUUGAAACAUGAAAAGCACAUAAGUCCAUAGAGUAUGUGGGGAAAUCUAUUUUGUUGAAGCAAUAAAGUUUUGAAUGGUUUCUAUACCUGAAACAUCGAAUGUACCACCUCCCAGAUCAAAUACUAGAAUGGUUUCAUUGUUCUUCUUUUCAAAUCCAUAUGCCAGUGAUGCGGCAGUAGGUUCAUUAAUGAUGCGAAGAACUUCUAGACCAGCAAUACGACCAGCAUCCUUAGUUGCUGUCCUUUGUGAGUCAUUAAAGUAUGCAGGAACUGUAACCACUGCUUUAGUAACCUUGUCAUUUAAAAACUUCGAUGCAUCGUCCACAAGUUUUCUCAAAACCUGAAAGCACGAGCAAAAACCAUUAAUCAUUGAUUAAGUAAUAAAUUAAUUCUGAAACAAGAGUUUUGCCGAAACUACUUUUCCAAAUACCAAAUCAGUUAAGGAGACAAAUAUCUGAAAACUAGCAGAGAUGAUGGUAUGCAUGUUUCACGUAAAAAUAAAAAUCUUAAGCUAAAAAGAAUGGAGAUAGUUAUCAACAAAACCAAUUCGAAACAAAAGGACAGGAAAGUUAAAUCCCGACUUCAGUGAAGCCAUGAUUUUUCAUACUAUCUGACAUAGAAGCAAACUCAUGUCACUGGAAGAAUAGCACAUAUCAUAUAUUCAAAGCUAAUCUCGGUUUAGAAUAUUACUUAUAGCAAGACUUUAUCAGUUUCCAUCUUUUCAAAAGCAACACAAGCAUAAAAUUAUCAUCAAAACCACAAAACAUAAAUGCAAUAAAGACUUACAAAUAAAUAACUGUGAAAGCAUGCGCUAGAAACCACAAAAGAUAAAAUUCAACAAAAAAAAGCUCUUAUUGCAGAUGAAAAAGGUUGCCGUACUACAUCAAUUUUCAUAUAACCUUUUCUUUAACACUAUAAACCAUGAAAGCUCGGAAAUUUUCUCGAACAAUUCAUUCGAGAUCAAAACCUUCAGAAAACAAACUAAAAUCAAAUAAAUUAAUUACAAUGCAUAAAAAUCUUGUCGGGAAACGACAAAAAGAAAGCUUGAGAGGAACCCUAACAAGAAUCAAAGAAAGUGACCUGGGCUGAGAUUUCCUCAGCUGCAAACUCCUUCCCGAUGACAGGGCACUCGAGUUUUACAUUCCCGUUCUCAUCCCUCAUGACCCGAUAAGAGACCUGCUUCGAUUCCUCAUCGACCUCUGCCAUCUUCCUCCCGAUGAACCGCUUCACCGAGAAGAACGUGUUCUCCGGGUUCACCACGGCCUGCCGCUUCGCGAUCUGCCCCACCAACCGGUCGCCGUUCUUCGUAUAAGCGACGACCGACGGCGUGGUCCUCUGCCCCUCGGCAUUAGUAACAAUCGUCGGCUUCCCUCCUUCCAUCGCCGCGACAGCCGAGUUCGUGGUCCCGAGGUCGAUCCCCACAACCUUCUCGGCCACCACCCGAAGGGGGCGGCCAAGGCCGCGUCUUUCCCUUCCCCCGCAACUCCGUGCUCGGAGAAUAGCUCCAUUGAGGGAACCCGAAGGGCGGUAGCCGAAGAAGAGGGAUCCCGAGGAGGAGAUUCGGGGAGAAGGCUUCCGGGACGAAGGAAAGGCGGCGGAGGAGCCGAGGGCGUGAAUCUGGGCGGACGAACACGCCAUUCUCGAUCAAAGAAGAGAAUUCAGACACUAGCCGGAAUAAAGAGAGCGGGUGGGAGGGGUGGAUUUGUUCUGCAGAUGGAGCGAAAACCCUAACCCUCAACCUAGCCGGCGGGACGCAAGAGUCGGAGGGAUAGGUGAAUGAUUAUAAGAUAAGCAUCUCCCAACCUUGACACGAUUUUAAUUACAUCAUUGUACUUAAAAAAAUAAAAUAGAUUAAAAAAAAUUAUCUAUUUAAAUUUAAAUUUAAAAAUAACCAUCUACUUGAAUUUUAAAUAAAAAUAAUAAUUUAUUUAAAAUAUAAAAAUAAUUAUCCAAGUAGGAAUGAAACGAUUCAAUUAUCUUUACAAUUAUAAAGUAAUACUACACUAUUAUAAAGUAAUACUAUACUAUUAUAAACUUAUACUACAUUAUUAUAAAAUAAUAUUAUAUUAUUAUAAAAUAAUACUAUAAUAAAAAAAUACUAUCCUAUGAUAAUAUAAUAUUAUUUUAUUAUAAAAAAUAUUAAUAUAUAUAUAUAUAUGUGUAUUUCUUCUUCUUCUUAUCUACAAUGUCUAAUUAAAAUAAUAGAAAUAUACUUAUAGAUAGACAUACAAAAGGAAAAUUUUGUAAAGUAUGCAUCCAAACAAUAACUUUUAUAAAAAAAUAUUCAAAACAAUUAUAUAUAUAUAUAUAUAUAUAUAUAUAUAAUUACUAUAACAAAAAUANNNNNNNNNNNNNNNNNNNNAACAAUAUAUAUAUAUAUAUAUAUAUAUAUAUAUAAAUUUACAUUCAAAAAAAUCGAUUAAAAAUUAGGAUAUAUGUUCAAAUAGCAAAAUUUAAUUAUAAUAAAAAUUAUUCAAUUACUCAUGGUUGAGGAACGUGACAAAAAAAAAUCAAUAUUAUUAUGUUGCAUGAUCCCAUUUGAUCUUAAUAUUUAUAAUUGAUUUAAAUUUAAUAUAUUUUAAUAUUUUAAAAUAAUGAAUAUAUAUAGAUGCUAGAGACUCAAUAAUCAUAAUUAGAUCAAAAUCAAAUAUGAGAAUAUAAUUACCGAAAUAAUUAUUUGAUGUUCCAACUCGAUUGAAUUUAAACCUUAAGUAAAAAUUGACAAUAUUAUUUAGCAUUUUUUUAUUUAUUAGUUCACUUAAGUAAUGAAAGAUUUGGCAAGUUUCAUUAGAGUUUUAAUCAUUUUUUAAUAGACUUUUUUUGAGUAUAUAUCCUCCUAAAUAUGUAAAAUUGCAUGAAUAAUCUCAUAAAAUUAUUAUUUAUGUAUAUAUCUUUAUAAAUUUUUUAUUUUGUAUAUCUAUCUAUAAGAAUAUUUUAGUCAUUUUAAUUUUAAAUUAUUUAUUUUUUAAUAAUAUUAGAUUGUAUGGAUAUAUAUAUCCAAAAUAAAAAAAAGUAAAAGAAGAUUAUAAAUGUAAAACAAGUAAGAGUGUGUGUAGUAUUAUUCAUACAAGUUCUCAUAUUUAGGAGGAUAUAUAUACAAAAAAAUCUUAAAAAAAGAUAUGGCAUUCUAUUUUUUUCUUGUUUUCAAAUCAUAUUUUUUAUUGAUAUAUACUAUAUGGUUAGAUGAUACACAUUAUUAUUUUAAAAAAAUCAAAAUAUAUCUCUAGAUAAAUUGAAAUAUAAUUUUCAAAACAUGGUAUUCACUGGUGUACAAUAUAUGCCCAGAUGAUAUACACUUAGCAAAUUAUCAUCCAAUAACCUAAUAUACAUCUUCAAAUAAAUUGAUACAUAGUUUUGAAAUAUCAUAUUCACCGAUACAUACCACAUAAAUAGGUGAUACACACUUGUGGACUUUAUAGUACAUACCGUAAAUUUUUUUUAUAUACAUCUAGCAGUCAUCCAAUACAUACAUUUAGAUAAAAAUUAUAUUCUGAAAUUAUGCAUCAAUUUAUCUGGAAGUAUAUAUUGAAUCAGCAGUAAUGUGUAUUAAAAAAGCUUGCAGAAUAUAUCAGAAAGUUAAUAAGUGUGUAUUACUUGGCCAUGUAGUGUGCACUGGUGAAUAUGAUGCUAUAGAAUUUUUGUAUCAUUUUGCUUAGAGAUGAAUAUUAGGUUGCUAAAUAACUAAUUUGCUAAAUAUAUAUCAUCUGGUCGUGUACGGUAUACUGAUGAACUUCAUAUUAUAAAAACUAUAUAUCGAUUUAUCUAGAUAUGUGUAUUAACUUAUCUGAUGAUUAAUUUGCUUGGUAUGUAUCACAAUAGUAUAUGUAGGUAAAAAGUAAGACGAGGAAAAAAUAGAAUAUCAUAUUUUUUAAAAAAAAUCAUAGGACUAAUGAUUUUAUUAGUAGAAGAAGUCUCUGACUUUUGAGCUUUUACUUUAAAAUAGAUAUCAGAGAAAAUAUGAUAAAAUAGCUUGCCAUAUAUUUUUUUCUCUAGCGCCCAUCCCAUAUAAUUUGUUUGAGAUAGGAGGACCAGUGGGGGUCUUUUGGUGUGUGCAUAUAAAUUUAUAAGCUAUCAUUGUGUUCGUUAUCAAAAUGAUGGCAUUUUGGGGGUAAUUUGACACUUGAUUUUGAUGCCAUGUAAUAUGAAUGGGUGGGAUUUAGUUAGGUGGAUUAUUGGAUGGUGGAUUGUUUUAGUGUUAAGACUUUUGUUUUAUUGCAUGGUAGAUUCUUCUAUUUUACUAUUUUAGUCUUUCUAAGGUUUAAGUAAUAUCAGACACAGUCUCAUCUUUCUUUUAUUAGGCGAUGGAAGGAGUAAAGCCAAGUUUCAAGCAUGAACUAGUCACCAAAUUAAGGAGAAGAAUUAGGAUAAUUGCUCAAAUUAUAUGAAGAAAAUAUAACUAAAUAAUUCUCAAAGAGUUUCUGACCAAAAUUAAAGCUAAGGUUCUAAAUUCUAUGAAAUAGAAAUGUCCUUUUGGGAUUCCUUGUAGAAUGAGAUGCUCUAUCUCGCUCCAUACAGAUAGCAACUCCAGUAAUUAGUAGAUGCAUGUGAGUAAAUAUGGGAUCAAUUGAACCUGCAAAAAAAUUUAAAAAUAUUAGACAUAUAUAUAUACUAGCAAGAAAAGUGAAAAUUAACCUACUAAUUUUAUAAAUUGACCCUACAUCUCAUGUAAACUUUUGAAGAAGUAAAGGACAAAAAAGAUUACAUUAAAAGAAUAAUUAUGAUAUACAUUCUCUCUUUAAUGAUCCAUAUGCCCUAUCUCUCUCUCCCUCUCUUCCUCUCUCAUACUAUUUUGACUUCUCUCCUUCUUUUUCUUUCUUUAUUGAUUACUUAUUUAUUUAUCUUUUAAUACUCUAUUCCAACCCAUUCAUCCACCUCUUAUAUUUAAAGCUCACAUUAAUUUAUUUUUUAGAGCACGAAUCCUUUAUUAUGCACUGCAUGAUGCGGUGGUGCACCAUCUGCACCAUCCAUCGCACGAUAGAUGGCUACGAACAGGUGGACUGUGUGAUGCAUACCACACAGCCAUAUACAGCCAUCCAUCGUGCGAUAGAUAGUGCAUACGAUGCACCAUACCAUGUGGUGUAUUAUGGGUACUGCAGAGAAUACGUCUUUUAUUUUUUUAUAUCCUAGAAGGAUCAUAUUAAAAAAUAAAAAAAUAAUUAUGACCUAUGUUCUUUCUUUCUUUAAUAAUUCACAUAUCCCAUCUCUUUUUUUCUCUCUCAUGCCACUUUGAUCUCUUCUCCUUUCUCUCAUUCUUUCAUUUUUUUUAUUCAUUACUUUUCUAUUUGUCUUUUAAUGCCCCAGACCACCCAUGGUCCCUAUCCAUUUAUCUCUUAUAUUUAAACCUUACAUUAAUUUAUUUUUUAUAUCCUAAUUAAUCCAAAUAUAAUUAAAAAUUACAUGUUCUUUUAGUCUCUCUUUUCAAUUUGAAUUAAAUAUGUCUCUUUUAGUUUUUUUAAUAAUAUUUUUUAUUUUUUUAUCUUUUUUUUACUAAUAUCAAAUAUAUAUGAUUAGAAUAAUUCUUGGUUAGCCUUUAUAAUUUUAAUAUUUAAUAAUAUUUAAGAUUUUGCUAUGGUGCUCCUUUAUACGAUUUUAUUAUAAAAGAUACUUAAUGUAUUACAUAUUAUCAUUUUUUAUAAAUUUUAUUAUUUUUUUUCUUCUCUUUCUAUGGCUUCGUUAUUUCUUUUAUUAUAUUGAUCCUAUAAAGUAAAAUUUCUGGAUCUACUACUGGCACCAGCCAUAUAUCUUGAUGAAUAUCCUCCAUCUCUCUCCUCUUCUUUAUUUCUUUUCUUUCUUUUUUCCUCCCUUUCUUUUUUUCUUUCCUUUCCUUAUCUUUUUCUUUUUCUUUUUUUUUCUUGUUAUUCUUCUUUCUCUUUCCUUACUUUCUUGUCCUUUCUUUCUUUCUUUCUUUUAGUUUUCUCUUCUCUUUUCCUUUCACUUUUUCUUUUUAUUAAUCUUUCCUUUCCUUUCUUUUCUUUUUCUUUUUCUCCCAUAGGUGGAUUUUAGAGUUCUGACACUAUUCUGAUUUUAUUUUCUCAUAGAAACAAGAUGGGAUAGCCGAUCCGCCCUCUAUUCCACUGGUAUGCAAAAUCUUGAUUAAAUCAUUUAAUACUUUACCAACUUUUUGCCAUUAAAAGCUUCAUUAGAUAAUGAUAGCUAUUAUUUCUAUUAUAUUACAGCUAUUAUAACAUAAAAAUGUUUGAUAAUGGCUGGUAUAAAAUGCUAUAAUCUAACUAAUACAUAUAGUGAUUUAUUUAAGAAUUAUUAUCGGAUAAGUAAUAGAAAUAUCAAAUGAUGUUCAUUUAUUUCCAUUGGAUAGUAGUUAUUAGGAUAAGAUAAUUAGGCUUAAGUGUAGUAGAAUAGUUUUUGGAAAAUAGCUUUGUAAUUUCCUUCUAGAAGGCCUAGAUAUUUAAGAGUAAUACUAAAGGCCGUUCUUUUGUAGAUAAAUAUCAUGAAAAAAUUGACCAACAUUUUCAUCGACUAAUUUACUCAUAUUUUUAUGCUUUUCAAAAUGGAUAAGUUACUUUGUAUGGAUAGCAUUUAUCCAUGAAAUGAAAAAAAGAUCUUAUCUGCCUAUAGAUGACUAAAUUAUUUUUUCAUCAAUCAAUAAAAUAUAUAUUUAAUUUUAUUUCUAAAAUAUUUCAUUCUCAUUUCUAAUGCCUUUAUCAUUCAACAUCUACUAACUCACAUCCAACUUUUUUCAAAACUAAAAGGUAUAAAGAGUACUAUGGGAAGUAUGAAUAAAUUUUAGCAACUUAUUUUGAAAAAUAAUAAUGCAAAAGGACAUGAAUAAUAGAUUUCAAAGCCACUUUUUUAUAUAUAAAAGAAUAUAGAUAAGUUAUUUUUCUAUCUAAAUAUUAUCUAAAAAAUAUUUAUUUAGAAAAAUAUAGAUUCUCAGAUAAUUUUUUUAUCCAUAAAAGAAUGGACUCUAAAGGAUAUUUGAUUUGUACAAAUAAGGUUUUUCUUAUCAAGUGGCCUGGGGGAAUUGUUGUGAAUUGCGAAAAUUGGUGCAUUAUAUGAACGCGAUUCAAUAUCAAUUUGGAAAGACAUCAUGAUAUAUGCUUGAAAAAAUUUUGUUCUCCACGAAGGAUUGCCACAAAAUAUUUUGCAAGAUUAAAAGACAACUACACAAAUAUCUAAGAAUUAUACAUCAAAAUUAUUAGGGAAAAAAAAAAGAGGAACACUAAACAUUCUAGCAAGCUAGAUGCUUAUUUUCCUUUUCCAUGGUCUCUUUUCUAAAUAUUGCUAAAGUUGUGGCACUAUAAGUUUUUUUCCAUUUGCAAUUAUAUUUUUAUUAUUAAUUGUAAAAGAUCAUACUUUUAAUGGGAGCAUUAUGAGCUAAGGGCAUACUUUUGUUUUGGUAUGUGGACUAAGCAUGGGUAACUAAGUGUUUUUUUUUUUUUCGCAUCAGCCAUGAUAAGGAGAUUCAAGGCCAAUGUAAACUCUACUCCCUAAAACAUGGCAUCUUGUACAACAUUUUCAAGAUAGUCCAUCACGAUUUGCUUCACAAAACAUGUGAUGAAAAAGGAAAUUUAUUAGAAUCUUUUUGAUGGAUGUAAUAUUUUUUGGAGCCCAUUUAUUUAUUAAACAAGUUAGAUCCACAUCUGCACCAGAUCUACCUAUUAAAUGAUUAACCCAACCGGACCUGUGCAACAUGUUUCACAAAUAAAUCCGAUCAAAUAGGUUUAGCACAUCUUAAAUAAAUUAAGUAGAUUUUAAACAUGUUAAAUAUGGCUUAAAUGCAUAGACCAUGACCCGAUAAACAUGCCAAAUGACGUUAAAGAGGUCCAAAAUUUCAACCUAAAAUCAACCUAUUUAAUCACCGAAUCUAGGCAUAUCAAUCUUUUCAUGACCAAACCAAUUUCAUAUCAAAUUCAGACUUAUUUUAAGAAGGUUGAUAACGAAUUGGAAUAGCGGGUUAAAUUGCCACCCCCAGUUAAAACUAACCAUAAAAACAAAACUAGCUAAAAGUAAAAGAAAAAGAAAGGACGCUUUGACAGCCCUCAACAUUGCCACGUAGCAGAUUCAUAGAAUCUCCUGUCCACCCUCGAUUCCUUCGGAUCCGUAUCCAGAUCUGCACAACCUUGACGUUAAAACCAACCAUAAAUGCAAAAGUUGCCAAAAGCGAAAGAAAAGGACUCUUUUUUAUUUAUUUUGGAUACAAAAGAAAAAGACUCCUCGCCUUCCUCGUUGUAUAGUUUUUUCGGUAAGAUUUUUUAUAUAUAGCAAUACAGAUGUAGAUGAGGGAUCCUUUGUUUUAUAUACUCUCUUGGUGGUGCCAAAGCUAUUUUGGUGUUUGGUUUCUCGUUGUCUUGUGGAACCAGGCUCGAUGGAUGCGGGGGUACGCGAUAAGCCGCAGGAAGCGAAGGAGAAGUCCAUCGACGAUUGGCUUCCGAUCACGUCUUCCCGGAAUGCCAAGUGGUGGUAUUCGGCGUUCCACAAUGUCACCGCCAUGGUCGGCGCCGGUGUCCUCAGCCUGCCGUAUGCUAUGUCGGAACUUGGAUGGUAGGAAGGAGAGAAGAAACUCUGUUCUUGAAAUCAUAGUUUUGAAGGUUUGGUGUUUGAUGGUUGUUAUUAGCGUGACUGUGUUUUGAUUUUGGUUAGAUGAUUUUAUUUUGUGCGAUAUUUUUUCUUUUUUAUUAAGUUUUUGGGCAGGAUCGAUCUGUUUCAGAUAAUGGAAUGAUGUUCUCAAACUAGUACCUGUUUGAUUGUUUCAGAAUCUGUUUAAAAUAAAAAUAGUUUCUGUUCUUUUUGUUAAAAUAUUUGAUUGUAGAUUUCAUUAAAAAAAGUGUUUCUAGAUUUUGGGCUAAUAACUCAAUUUUCUAUGUUGCGAUAAAAAAAAAAAAUGGUUUCUUUUCCUUUUAUAGUAGUGAAUAUUGAAAAAGUUAUACUAUUUGCGUUUACGUAUUAUUUCCUUUUUUUGGGGCUACAGAUAUAUUAUCCUAAGACCAUGCCUUUCUAGAAGAAUAAACUUUUCCUUGAUAUACUCAUCUUGUAUUUGUAUAUAUAUCUCUGUAAUUUUGAUCCAAUGAAUUUUUGGUGUGCAAAACUUUGCUUCCCUUUCCAUCAAAAAAAAAAAAACUUUCCUUGAUAUCCUAGAAUACAAAAUAAUGCUUUCCAAAAAAAGAAAUCUAUUUUUCAGCGGAAUCUAAUUCUUGCCUUGUAUUAAAAUAGGUCUUGCUGCCAGCUUAGAAUUUUUGUUUAUUUCGCUAGCAUGUUAAUAUUCACCUUCUAUUUUUGCCUAAUUUGUAAGGUAAUUAGUCAUGACCUAUCUGUUAAUUAGAGAACAAAUCUGCUAAAUCUCUUUGUUGAAUUUAAAGUUAGAGAAAAGCUUAAUCCUUAUUAAUCAUAUAAAAUAUAUUUAUGACAUAAGUUGGUUAAGUUAUAAAAGUGCAUUUACAUUUGGAGGAUCUCUUAAUACUCAUAUUUGUUCUUACUUAACUCAGUAGAUGGAUCCUAUAUGAAAUGGUGUAUUAAGGAUCUUAUAAUAAUAUUGAUAUUUGUUCUUAACUGAUGGAUGAAUGAAAUAAAAAAAGAAACCGUCUAUUGGUUUGCUGUGAAAGAUUAAUGGCUUGUCCUCCUAAUGUGCAAUUGAGCAGGGGACCAGGCACUGUAGUCCUAAUCCUAUCAUGGAUCAUCACCUUAUAUACUCUCUGGCAAAUGGUAGAGAUGCACGAGAUGGUACCUGGAAAGCGAUUCGAUCGAUACCAUGAGCUUGGGCAGCAUGCCUUUGGAGACAAGCUUGGUCUUUGGAUUGUGGUGCCUCAGCAGCUUAUCGUGGAGGUUGGCGUGAACAUCGUCUACAUGGUCACAGGAGGAAAAUCUCUAAAGAAGUUCCAUGAUGUUGUCUGCCCUGAUUGCAAGAACAUCAAACUCACCUAUUUCAUCAUGAUCUUUGCCUCGCUGCACUUUGUUCUCUCCCAACUGCCCAACUUCAACUCAAUUUCGGGUGUCUCCUUGGCAGCUGCUGUCAUGUCCCUCAGGCACAUACUCUUCUCUAUGAUGCUAAAGCGCCUGACUUUUCUCUCUAACUCUAUAUUAUUACAUGUUUGGUAACAUUCCUUUAGAAAUCAUUAGUGGCAGUAGCUUUAUUAAAAGUGAUUGAAAUAAUGUGAGUUUACUUGUUCUCUGUCUGUUCUUCUGAUAGUAAUAAAGCGUGUGUUUUUGUAUGCUAAAAGGACAAAUUAUUAUGUGCUUUUCCAUAUUUCUAGAGAAGACUACAAAGGUAUUUGUUUGUCUUUUGAAACUUUAAAAUUUCUCUUAUUGAGUAGAAAUUUCAAAUUUCAUGACACUUUGCCUUCUUUUUGGCUUUGCGAAUAUAUAUUCCUACAAAUUCCUGAUGUAAAUUUUCGUGUAAUUUGAAGUCAAGAAGCCUAAGAUUUUAUAUGUUUGGAAAUAAAAUAAAAAAAAUAUAGAAGUACAGCCUAAAGGAGUAUUUGCUUCAACAUUUGAGGUUUAUCAGCUUUCCACUGAAAACAAUUGAGAAAUAAAUCAUGAAUGAGUAAAAUUUUUUUAGAUUUCUCAAAGCUUUGAUAUCUUGUUUUUUUUUUUUUUUAAUGUGGAAUUAUUAUCUAAAACUCAAUUGCUCUCUGUGACUUAUUCAUUAAUUCUUAUCAGUUACUCCACCAUUGCUUGGGGAGCUUCUGCCGCCAAAGGGAAGCAAGAACAUGUGGAGUAUGGUUACAAAGCUUCAAGCACGGCAGGGACUUUCUUCAACUUCCUCAGUGCGCUUGGAGACGUUGCUUUCGCAUAUGCUGGGCACAAUGUUGUCUUGGAGAUCCAGGCAACUAUACCUUCCACUCCCGAGAAGCCAUCAAAGAAGCCUAUGUGGAAGGGUGUCGUUGUUGCCUACAUUGUUGUUGCCAUUUGCUACUUUCCUGUUGCUCUGAUUGGGUACUGGGUCUUUGGCAAUGUAGUCGACGACAACAUCCUCAUUACCCUGGAAAAGCCAAGGUGGCUGAUUGCCAUGGCCAACAUGAUGGUUGUUGUCCAUGUCAUUGGGAGCUAUCAGGUAUAUGGCUUCUUGCAAUCGAUAUUCUGAAAACUUCAGUCACAUUUAACAAUCCAGGAAACUUGACUUCGAUCGGAUGUAAAUUGUAAUAUUUUCAAACAUUCCAUGAAACAAUCAAAAAAAAAAAUGUUUGACACUUCAAGAUGGAAUAUGUGCAAAUAUUGUCUUCAUAAGGGAAUCAAAUGAGUGGUAUCAUAAUAAAUUUGAGAAACAAUUCUGUAAUUCAUACAUUUCACAAAGAAAGAAAAAUGAAAAAGGAGACAGUGCUUUAAUUUAUUUCGAUGUUAACAUGAUCUUUUCAUGAUAAAGAUCACUGUGAUUCUCAGGAAGAAGUGUUAGUAUGUCACUUACAACUCUAACUGAUUGCCCUUAUAUUGAGUAAAAUUACGAAGGAAACAAGUGAAAAUUAUUUUCAGCACACUGAUAGCAAUAAAUUGAACACGUUCUGAUCAGUGAUUAUAAAUAUUUUCAUUUUUUUUUAAAAAAUGAUGUCUUAUUAUUCAUUGUACAAUGCUUUGUCAAAAUAGAUCCAAAACAACAGUCGGCAAAAAUGGUUGCAUCUAUAUAUAUAUAUAUAUCUUUUAGUGAUUCUUUCAUGAUUCCGGCAACAAUGCUUGAUUCCCUUGAAUUUUAUUUUUGAUAAUCACCUCUUCAUUUUUCUCUCAUAACCUGAACUGUUCAGUAGGGAUAUGCAGAGAUAAAAGCGUAUCAUGUGUACAUUUCUCUCUCGUUCCUUUCAUGACAGUAGUUAGUAGUCUGACUUUUUCUCGAAUUGCUAAUGCAGAUUUAUGCCAUGCCAGUGUUUGACAUGAUAGAAACUGUACUGGUGAAGAAACUCCAUUUUCCUCCGGGUCUUAUGCUUCGAUUAAUUGCUCGAUCUGUAUAUGUUGGUAAUGACCCUCUCCUUUAGGCCAAUACAUAUGUACAUCAUUUUUUUUGUGACAUAUAAGUUUACUGAUUUAUUAUUAUCAUUACACAUCAUGCCCAGCAUUUACAAUGUUUGUUGCUAUAAGCUUCCCUUUCUUUGGUGGGCUACUUGGAUUCUUUGGAGGAUUUGCAUUUGCCCCGACUACAUACUUCGUAAGCCCCUAAAACCUAAGAUCAUUCUUGAAACAGGACAUACUUUUUUCAUGAACAUUGAGAUGCUAAGGGAACAUAAGUAGUGUUUCAAAUGCAGAAGCUGUCGUUAAGUUUUUAAUUUCCAUUAGCGCAGUAGAAGUACUGAUUCUGAUCUAAAAUCUUUUUGCACAGCUUCCCUGCAUCAUGUGGCUUGCCAUCUACAAGCCUAGACCGGGUAGUUUAUCUUGGAUCACUAAUUGGGUAAGCCUGCUCACUCUAGGUGGUUUCAUUUUACCUGCUUUAUGGUCAUCAAGCUAAUCCGAUUUUGUUUUCAUGUGCUUCAGUUCUGCAUCAUAAUUGGUGUGCUAUUGAUGAUUUUAUCACCCAUUGGUGGACUAAGGCAAAUCAUAAUCCAAGCAAAGAAUUAUCAAUUUUUCUCAUAAACUGCCAGUCAAGAAUAUUAAGGAAACGACAAGGGAACAAUUUGAAGUCAGGUGAUGGAAAUGACGAAAUGUUCAUUCAUGUUACUAAGAUCAUUUUAUUUGAUGAUAGGGCAGGGUAGCCUGAUAUGUUUGAAAAAUAAAUAGCGUCAGCUUGGAAUUAGAUGGAUGUUGAUGUCUCAAAGAUACAUCCUUUUAGCUGUUCCUUCUGUGUUAAAGAUUAUUACUAUGUUUAUUAUUCAUAUAUACUAGUAAAUGCCAUGGACCAUAAGGCUUUUCAUGAUCAAGUUCUUUAAGUGAGAAGCUUAUUCUAGACUGCAUUAUUUGCCAGUAAUUUUUUUUUAAAGGAUGGGCCUGCCGUUGAAAAGAAAAGUGGGCUGCAUAAAUAAAUGAGGAACCACUCGACAAGGAUCUUAUAAAAUGGAUUUGUUUGCUGUGACAAUGUAGGCCUCAAUGACUUGUAGAGUCGAUUGUCUUUUGUUUUUCAACGAGAAGACUUCUAUUAGUCAAAAUAGAAUAUAGAAGGAUGCAAACUUAUCAUUGUCUUAAUAAUCAUGAGGGUUGAACCGUUCAGUAUUUUGAAUCCAUGACCUCCAGAUCACGGUGGAGCAAUCUUACCAUUGCACCAAGGUUCCCUCUCUAAGAAAAUGAAGGCUGUGAAUAUAUUAAAUUAUCUUAGCUUGGUACCCAUAUUAAAUUGCAAUAUUUCCCUCCAGCAUUUGUUUUGGUCUGAGGUUCUUGAUGAAUCAUGGCAAUAUUCAAAUAAGCCAUGAACCAACCAGCAGAAUUUCGUACAGAGAUAAAGGUGCCGCCAAUGGUACUGAAUCAAUUCAUUUUUUUCCUUAGCAUCUAAGGCUUGACAUCUCAUCUGUGAAAAAGUAAUAGCAUCAAGAGACAAGAACCCAAGAUUCUCUAUGAAAUGAGGAAGUUGAAGAAGAAUAUAUAUUAAUUGAGACACAUAUUCGAUGCUAUCUUUGAGAAAGAAGCAUAAGCCUCAUGAUGUUGUGUUCUGAUUGAGAUCUUCAAAGAGCUCGAGAUGAUAAGAAAAUGCCUCAAAAGCCACUUUGCAGCACCUUUCGCAACAACCCAUGCACAUAGCACAUCUAGGCUAUUCCAAUUACAACGCAAGAUAGGCAGCUCAGUGGUGCACACAGACAGUAACAAUUAAAAAAAAAAAAUCAAAUAGGAAAAAUAAUAUAUUUAUAAAAAGCAAUGGAUUGGACUGGUAGCAAGGACAUAUUUACAUGUCUAUGGAUGUACAACAUGCAUUUUUUGUGUUGUUGCAUCUAUGCUUGUGGAUUUUAACUCAAAGCACCUAUAACCCCUCCAAGAGGAGGGAGAGCUACAGGAUGAGUGGUCUUCAUAAGCAGUUUGCGAUGAAGGAACAGCCAACUACAUAAUUUCACCAUAAACAGCCCACAGUACAACAAUUCUUUCAAAAUUUUGGAACAUGGAUAAUAAACUUUGAAAAUGCUUAAUUUCGAUAACUUGCAUCAUAAAACUAAAUACAAUCAGAUUUCUAAUAUUGUCUACUCAUGAAAUGUCAUAUUUCUAUUCAAGUGAAUGUGACUUUCUCCCUGUGCUCCUCUUGUUUAAAAUCUGGGACAGCUUUCUGGUGAUGAUGCAUUGAUGAAUACCACAUCUGAAACUUCUUCCCUUAAAGGAUUCCAAGGAGCAAAUGAGUUAUGCAUGUCCCAUAAAAAUAUUAAGCUACAUGGCAUUUCUUUUUGGACCAAUGUUGCUAUCAGUAGUUUCUUUAUGAAAGAGGUUGGUAAACUAGGCAAUAGAGCUACCAUCAGAAAAAAAUGGAAUAGAGCAGCGGGGCACACUAUCUCCAAUUAGAUAAGUGUUUUUUUAAGCAUUUAAUGGGGAUAAUUUGUCCAUUAUUUUUGCAAAGAUGAAUGGUGAUGCAUUCACCCUUAUGUUAGAAGUAGUUGAUAUGUAGAGCUUUUAAUGUAAUGGUUUUUCUCCGGAUAUUCUUUUUCUCUCCCUUCAGUAAGUAAAUAGUGAGUAGAGAUUGCCACCAUUUGAUCAAGGUUAUGAACUGAUGAGGGAAAAAAGCAAUCGCAAAAAGUUACUCGGAAAGAUAGAACUCAAUCACAAUAGACAAAAAAACUAAAAGCCAUAUAACAAGAGGCCUCUUAAGACAUGAGCAGCUCACCAAAAAAGUAAAAACAAAUAAAGAAGAGGGUCAACAAAAGAAGAUCAAUGUAAACAAAAAGGACUGGCCAAGAGUAGAAGAGGGAGGACUGGUGGCAACAUGGGCAUAGCAAUAGUCUACCAAACAACAAGGGGAAAAACCAAAAGAAAGUUGUCAUUCCAGAGGUAGAAAACCCUAAUCACAUGACCCAUGCACGACCUCCCCUCAGUAGGGUCCAUAAGUGCACGAGCUACCAAACCACAUUAUGCUUAAAGACAAUCUAAAGUAACAUUAGUAUGGAUUCAUAUAUCUAUUUGAAUUCAUAUCAAGAUGACCCAUAAGAAAUCUUUUUUGGCAAGUUCAAAAUAAAUGACCACCAUGUCAUUAAAUUAGCAAAAUCCAAAAUUACGUGCCACUAUUUUAUUAAACUAGAAAAACCUAAAACGCACCAGCCACCAUGUAGUUAAACUGAAAAAAUCCAAUACCUUACCAUUAAACUAGACAAACCCAAAAUGAUCAUUACCGUGUUGCUAUGCUAGACAAGUACAAAAUUAAAUGAGCACCAUGUUGUUAAAAUAUAUUGAGUUUGAAAAAAAUAUGCUAUGCCAUGAUUCCUUGGGAUGCAUCCUAUGGUUUGUUGGCUAAUUGCCAGCUCGAAAGACCUCUGGUGACUUCCCACGGUGUGAAUCAGUGGUAGACCGCGCAAACUCAAAGCGCCUGGGAACUUUUACUGAUGAUUUAAUUAUAAUAGUAAGAUCAUUAGUGUGAAUCCAGGAUUAAGAGGAGCCAAGCUUUCCUAUAACGUUACAGCAGGGCACACCGCUAUAAAACCUUAACAUAAAUCAUAAAAAUACAAUCUGGGUAGCUAGAGCACUGUAGGCAAGGUAGUUAUGUCAAAAUGUGUCAUUGCUGAGGAGAACAUGACAAAGUUGCACACAAAGCAAAAGCAGACAUCUCAUCACCUUCUCCCAGUCCAUGAGGGAAAAGAAACCUGUAAGAGGAUAGCCGAGGUAGCUACAACCUGCUCAUUGUUCCAUCUGUUGUUUAUUGAACAGUUCUACUCUCCUGUUCAACAAUGGCUCGUUACCGUUCAGUUAUUUCACAUUCAUUUAUUUCCUACACUCAAGAGGAGGAUUUUCCAUUUCCCCUGGAAUCACCAAAUUCUCAACCUCACGCAGUUUUCGCAACAGAAAGGAGGAAUGCAGGAACAGAAUCAAAAAAUAAACAAAUUGGAGCCAAAAACACAGCCAGAGAUAUUUAUAAGAACCAUAGCAUCCAUGUGCAAGGACCACAGCAAUAAGAAUGAAGGAACUUUGUUGAAUCUAUCAGCUGUCUUUGUACAGUUAUGGGAGCAAAAGCAAAAAAAAUGUAUGUAUCAACAACAAUGUACAAAACCUCCUACAGCUCCCACAUUGUAACAGGCCACAUGGAAUACAUCUGAUGUCACAAUUCAGCAUAUAAAUAUCACCUAUUUUGAAUCAGCAGCACAAGUGUCAGACUGGGCUACAAUCAAUCACCAAUUUCCACUGAUGGGCGAUGGCGUCCUACUGCAACUAGUUCAUACUUAUAGCUAGCAUAGAGCAUGCAAGCUUCCCGAUGGGACCAACCUGCUUCUCAACUCCAAAACUGAAGGUCACUAAAAUUACAAGCAAGAAACCAAUGUAGCACGUCCUCAGUAGCCUGCUCAGCAACAAAACCAUGACAAUCUUGUAUGUGGUUGGCUUAGACCCCCCCAAAAAAAAACCCAUAUUCAUGAUGAAUUUGGGCCCAGUCUGCCGCAUCAGCAGAAUACUGUGGUGAUUACUCAGUCCAUGGGCGCAUAUGUAGUUGGAAGACAUGAAAACGGUCAAUCAAUUUCUCCUUCCUCGACAUCAUUAACAGGUAUAGUCCUUGCCUCACCAUCUUCCUCCUCUUCAUCAUCAACUUUUAUGUACAACCCAAGUUGUUCUAAAGGGUUAGUGCCUCCCAGUUUAAUACAGCCCAUACCCUCCUGUGAGAGAGUAGGGCUUGACUCACCAACAGAACUAGGUACAUGCUCAGCUGGAACGGUGCUAAGCAUCUCUAGAUCUUUUAGAAAUAGAUUGUUCUCAUUGAUCUCUGCAGUCUUCUCCAUCUGCAUGAUGCAUAGAAUGUCCACCAUCAAAUAAAAGAUUAGAAUAAAAAAGAAAAGCUAUUAUGAUGUGCCUGAAAACAAAGUUUUACAUGCCUGAAGCAAGGCUUGACGUGCUGCUUCUCUCUCGAGUUCACGUUUGCGCUUAGCUUCUGCUGCAGCUUCUGCUUCGGCUUGCUUUCGAGCUUCUUCGGCAGCCUUUGCUUCUGCUUGCAGCCGAGCUUUCUCUGUUCUCAUAUGAUUGUAAGUAAACCAUUCACAACAUGACAUGAAAGAAAAAUUCAACAAAACAAAAUGUAUCUGUCUCAUUGGCUCUUACCUUCCCUUUUUUGCCUCUCAAGCUCCUCCCUCUCCAGCCGAAGCUUCUCCGGAUCCCUCUUCUCACCCUAAUCUCAGAUAAAUGACUCCACAUGGUAAAACUCUUCAGGAGUAUACCAAACAACAAGAAGUGACAUGACAAAAAUUUAGUCACUCUUCUAACCACUUCUAACCAACCUGGUCAAGUGUCUUCUCACGAGCUUUGAGGAUUGUAUCAGCAAAGCGACUUCUCAAUAAAGCUGCUCGAUAGAGCUUUUCAGGGGAGACUUGCCUCUGACAUGGAGCAUUCUCCCCUAAAAUUUUCAUAAUGAAAAGGUGAGGGGAUCCAUGCAUAGCAUAUGCUUAAGAUCCUUGAAGUUUCACAGUAUUCCUCUUGGAAAUUCAUUCUUACCCUCUUGGUGGCUAUUUGCCUCGACAGAUGCAGGCACAGAAUGCACAUCCUGUUCAAGUUGAUGUAGCCUAUCAGAAGAUCCUGUAAAUUGCCAACAGUGCAUGCAUUCAGACAACAGAAUGAUGAAAGAAUGUGAUAGUAUCAAUCUCUAGAUACAAGAAAAUUUAUAAGCAUAACCAUUUACACUGGGUGAAAGGUGACAUCUCAAUAACUUACCACUUGCAUCUAGUGGGUUUAAGAUAUCACUUUUUUCUUGGUCCAAAGCUGCCCCAUAUUGUACAUUUUCCUACAUCAACAUGAUUAAAGAGUAAGAAAAAUGCUCUGAACAUGCAAGUAGAAAGAGAUUUAACAAAAUAUGUUUCAUAUUGAUAACAAUAUCAAAUAGAAAUGGAAUGAUAAGGCUACAAGUGCUGAUGAUCUCAAGCAUCAGCUCUUGCAGUGAUUUCAAAUGCUAAAAUACCUUGAUAACCUUUGUAGGACUAACAAUUUUUAUAUGUGAUUCACUUCCUGAGGAGCUACCAGUGUCUGAAUCUACAGAAGGAUCAAAAGACUAGAAUCACAAAGUAUAUUUUGCAAGAACAAAUUUUUAAGCAUCUACACAUACCAGGCACCAAUAUUAAUAACAAAAUAAAACAAGAAAAGACCUCUGACAUGCAACAUAAAGUGUGCUAUGGAGUGUUUAUUAAAGAGUGAUGCAGAUUUAACGUAGUUAAAUCAGGAAUUUACACUAGAUGGAUGGUCCCCUUAUCAAAGGAUACAUCUGCAAAUCCUUUGAAAUAAAAGAAAUAGGUUUUCUCUCCCAUCAAUGAUCAUGAAGCAAAAUACAGAUAGAUAAAAAACAAAACAUGAGAACCAAUAGCGCAAAAUCAUUAGAACUUUCAUGGCAGGAGUAAUAGGAUGGACUAGUUAUCUGAAAAUUUCAAUUUUCUCAGCAACCUAUAGCUUCACCUAGCUCUUGCAGCAGUUUAAUCUAAAAAUAGUAGAGUUCUCAUACCCUUCCUACUUUACAUGUAUAGCACAAAGUUCUGAUAUUCUGAAAAAAAUUCUCAUGGUAGUUGAUGCUCACCAGUUUUAGAAGAUUAACUUAAAAAAGUUUCAAGCGCUAGUCCUUCCAUGCUGAUUAAAAAUAUGCUCCGCACCAGCAAGUCUGUACAGUUGUCUCAACGACCCUAGCCCAUAUUGCUGCAUAUUGACCAGUGCCUAAGUGUAUUCCUUUGAUGCACACAUCAUAGGCCAAGACAGAGUUGUGCAGACCUGAAGCCUACCUUCCUAUUUCAAAAACAUGUUUUACAAUCCCAAAUAACCCUAACACCGAGAAUUAAAGAAACUAUACUUUUAAGGGACAACAUGUAUAGGAUCUUUAAUCCUCUAAGGAGACAUCUUAGGGGGAUAGGGACCAUAAGAGAGAGCCUCUAGAUGACUGGGAUGAAAUCCACAAAAGACAACCAAUCACAACUUUUAAAGGGCCACAUGUAUUUCACUUAGGGGCCAUUUGGAGCCCUAUGGUUAAAGUUGCAUUGCAAAUUAAGCCACAGUAGUUGACUUACAAAGAAGCUCACUUCUUGUGUUCCAAGUAUAUGGGAAAAGAGAGGCAACUUUGAUAGACAUUCCAUCAAACAUCUUGUGAGUGGAUGUCUAGUCAGAGCACUUGAUGUACGUGGAGAUGAGGGUGUUCUGGAUGAACUGAUUGACAUCGAAGCUGUCGAUGGCGAGGGCCUAGGUGGGACCUGGGUGCCCAUGGGGAGGGAGCGAUGGUGAUACAAGCUUUGAAGAGGGCAAAGAAGGUGAAGGAGAGGGGCAUAUGGGGUGGGUAGCGGUGGUGAAGGAGGCAGAGUGAGGGAAGGCAACAUAGUAAAGUUUGAAGCGGAGGAGGUGGCUGUGGGCCUCCAAGACAUGACAGAGGCAGGCGAUGGCAUUGAGGAUGGCAACAAAGGGGGAAUUGAGAGCAGGGUAAUGGAGGAGCCGAGGAGAUGGGAAGGGGAGGAGGAGAGGCCUGCUGCAUUGAAGUUCAAGGCGGCCAUGGGCAUCCUGUAGGUGGUGGAGGCCAACAACAGCAUUGAGGUUGGCAACAAGGAAGGACUAGAGAGCAACGCCAGGAAGAAGAGAGAAGGAAGAGAAAGGGCCUACUACGAUGAAGUCCGAGGCAGAGGGGCCAUGGGCAUCUAGGAGGUGACGAGGGCCAAUGGUGGCAUCUAGGGCGAUAGCAAGGGACUAAAAAAUGAGGCAUGGGAAGAGAGGGAAGGGAAGGAGGAGGAUUUGAAUUUACUUUAACGAAGAUCCUACUUGAGCUGCGGCAACUUUCCUGUGGCCAUUUCAACCACAAGUCAACCUACUGCAAAAUAGCCCUGAGUUGCAGCACAACAAGCAACUCAACUGACUAUGCAAUUUGAGUUGCAAGCAUCCAAAGAAGCAGGAUGGCCUCCACCUGCAACUUAAGAUGCAUACAGCCCCUUAGGGAAAUUCACUGUAUAUUCUACAUGAGGUUCAUUAUCCUCAAUAUCUAAUUAUCGAAGUCAUAUCCAGCAAUCCACCAACAUAUAUAACAAGCAUGUCAUUACUAGCAGAUGCAUCCAGACACCCUGUAGCCUAGAACCCCAGUCACGGCCACGUCUCCAUGACAACCUCAUGCAGUACGUGUUGCAGUACUUGUGGUGGCAAUGUUAAUUGUGCCCCCAAUGAUGCCAAAAAAGUAUACAGGUUACAUUAGCCAGUAUCAAGACUAGCAUCAUAAAUAUAUAAAGUUCCAACAGUACAUUGAAAUAUGCACAACAUAUGUUAUAUACGAGCUAAUGAGUACAUAGAGUAAUGCUCACUACAACUAUACCAUAAUCAUAGUCUUAAGCUUGUAAGAAUUCUUAACCUCAAAUUAUAGUAGUUAUUUAAUGUCAAUCUGUAUGCUAGAUUACUUUAAAGUUUAAUCUAUGCAAAAUACGCAAUAAUCAUCACAAACAUUUGGGAUGUUUUACAAUCUUACAAUAAUGACACUAAGUAAUUACAUAUGGUCGUUCAAAAACAUAUCCAUAUAUCAGAACAAAGAACCAUUAUUGUUCAAAGGUUAAAAAACAAUUUGAUAAAUGCACAUAUCUUAGCUUGCCAAUUAUGUAUCUUGUGACAAGCUAGUGUACCUUUAUGCGCCAAUGCUUACCAUAUAUCAGCAUGGCAUAACAUAAUAAGUCAACCAUGCCAGACCCCAGCCAAGAAAGGCACAUGCAUGAUAAUUUGGUGGUUACUAACUUUCAGUUAAGGGAACAAGUAGGCAUCAAAAUUCAUGUCCAACAUGAUGUCAAAUCAAUUUUGAUUCAACCAAAGCCCAGGGCCCAACCUUGUGGGUCUGUUUCAGGUCUUAAACCUUUUAUUUAAAUGCACCCUACAGGGGCCACAAACAAACUGGAUCAGCAGCACUAGAUUAUGAAAAGUUAAGUUAGACCAAGUUAUUGUAGACCCAACUCAAACAAAAAAGAAAAAGAUUUCGUGGGAUUAUCUCAACGCUCAUAAUUUAAACCAUAAUCUCAACAAAGCUGGAUCUAAUAGAGUGAAAUCAAACUUUAUUGGAAAUUGUAAAGACAUAACAAGUGCUUUCAUAUUAUGUUAUCAAAGACUAAACAAGUUAAAACUGAUCCUAUUCAAAGUUCAUUCACAAAAUUGCUUCAAAAGCAAAUUCUUUUAGAAAGCAAAAGCAACAAAAAAAAAAGGGGGCAUAAGGUUUUUCUUCUUCUUUGUGACAAAGGUAGCCAUCUGUCUUUCCCUUUUUCCCCACUAAAUCACAGAAAUGCCCCUAUUUAAUGCUUCCCUUAUAUUCUAACUUAGAGGACUAUUGCAGCAAUUUAACCCCAUGAACAAUUCCAUAUCAAAUCUGAAAUAGAAUCAGCCAUGAGAUGCUAAGAUCAACCCAAGUUUACAAAGGCAAUGAAUCCUUUUAUAAGUCACAUUUAUGUAACAAACACGUCCCUCUAAUGCGUGAGCAAUCGCCCAUCACUCUUAGCGUUUGGUCAUAAGAGGGAGGAUGGAUGGGAUUGGAAAGAUGGAUGGCCUUCAUCCACUAUUUAGUUCAAAAAAAAAUUUACUUUUUAUUUGGUAUGAAAGAUGGAUUAGAGGAAGAAUGGAUAUAAGAGAGGAUGGAUGGAAGAAUGAUGGAUGGACCUUCCAUCCUAGGUCCAUCCAUCCUCUCAUAUGUUUGGUGAAACAUGAAAGAAAGGAUGGAUAAGAAUGAAUCCUUCCUUUGUUUGGUAUAGAAGAAAUAAAAGGGAUAAUGGAUGAUAUUCAUAUAACAUUGUUACUAAACUACCUCUUGAUUAAAAAACUAUUAUUAUUAUCAAUUUAUAAUACUUAAUUAUACUAAAGAAGUAGAGCAACGUAUAAACUUAUAAUCUUUAGAAUUUAUAAUUAUAUUAAAAAUUAUAUACAUAUAUAAUUUUAAUUUAAUUUAAUAAAUAAUUUUUAUUAUUAUAUAUUAAUUAUAUAAAUAACUAAUACAUUUAUAAUUUAACUUAAAUAGUUCAUUAAUUUUUUACAAAUAGUUAACUAAAAAUAGUAAAUAUAAAUAGAAAACAAAAGAUAAUUCUAAUUAUUUAUAAUUAUGAAAAUUAUGUACUAAAAUUAAAAUAAUUAAUAAUAAAAUUAAUAGUAUAGGAUUAAUAAUAUAGAUAAAAUAAAAAUAUAUAUAAAUAAAAUGAAUGAAAAAGUGAAAAAGUUAUAAUUUUGUCCAAAAAUUAAUAAAGGGUGACUUUGUCAAUGCGCAAAUCCAUCCCUCACAUGCUCCAUCCAUUCUUCCUUGCGUCCUCCCAAUGUAGGAGGAUAUAAAUUGGUGGCUUUAGAUGGAUGGAUAGUCCCUCUUUUUCAUUCAUCUUUCCUAAAAUUUUUUAAACCAAAUGAUAAAUGAAGGCCAUUGAUCCUUCCAACUCCAUCCAUCCUCCCUCGUAUCACCCCAACCAAACACAAAAUUAGAGAGGAUAGAUAAAAAGGAAGAAUUAUCCAUCUACCCUGCCCCACCAAUUUGCAUCCUUCCAAAAGAAUGAUGAAUAGAGAAUUUAAGGGAUAAAUUUCUGCACUGAUAACAUCAUCCCUUCUUAAUUUUCUGACAAAACUAUAAUACUUCUUCACUGUUUCAUUCAUUUUAUUUUUAUAUUUAUUUUAUCUAUACUAUUAAUCCUAUACUAUUAAAUUUUAUUACUAAUUAUUUUUACUUUAACACAAAAUUUCCAUAAUUAUAAGUAAUAAUUAGAAUUAUUUUCUAUUUAUAUUCACUAAAUUUAGUUAACUAUUGGUAUAAAAUUAAUUAAAUAUUUAAAUUAAAUUAUAAAUAAAUGUUACAUAGAUAAUUAAUAUAUAUCAAUAAAUUAAUUCAUAUAUAAUUGAUUUAUAAGAUCAUAUAUUAAAUUAAAAUUAAAUAUUUAUCUAAUAUUUAUAUAAUUAUAAAUUAUAAAAAUUAUAAGUUGAUACAUUGCCCUACUUUAAUAAUCUAAAUAAAUAUUAUAAAUUGAUAAUAAUAUUUUUUAUUAAAAGAUUGUUUAGUAAAAAUGUCAUACAAAUAUCAUCCAUCCUCCUUUUCAUUCAUCAUAUACCUAAUAAUAGAGUUUCAACAAACACAUCCAUGCUCUCCCUGAUCCAUCCUUUCUCUUCUAUCCAUCCUUCCUCGAAUUCCAUCCAUCCAUCUUCUCCCUUGUCCAUCCUUUAUCUUCUAUUCCAUCCUUCGUACCAAACAAAGGAUAAAUGCUUGAUGCAGUACUUACUGUUUCUGUAUAUGAAUUUGCAUACAAGCUAGAACUGUCUUUAUGUACUGCUAUAUAGAUGUGAUGUACAGCAGCCGACCACCAAGGCUACCUAGCUAGCCCACACAUAUAGGCAGGUGUGUAUGAUAAUCAAGGCCAUCCGGCUUCCUCCAUGUUUCCUUUCCAUCUCAGAUCAGCCACUCUGCACGUGCCUAAAGUUGUCUCUAUGAAAAUUGAUGUACCUCAAGAAGGCUGGCUAGUAAGGACAUUGAGAUUGAAAAAACUAUAACAGAAUCAAAUCAGUAAAUUAUGAAAUCAGUCAAUCCUUGCACUUAUUAUGGGAUUUGUUCAGUGAUCUGCUUCAGCUUUGAGAAUCAUGAAAAUGAUUUCACAGUAAAGAGUUUAAUGAACUGGUUUAAACAUGUCAGGUUUUAUGAUGUAUGUUUGCCCAUGCACAGGCUCUUAACAAGAAACUAAACAAAACUCUGUUUUUUAAUUUGACAACUACUGACCAGAGUUUGGUAGCACUAGAUAUAAAGCAUAGGACAUCUGGAGGAAGAAAAUUUUCAUCAAAAGUGCUAGGUGUUAUAAUAGAAGUUAUUUGCUAAAACUAUCAAUCGGCGUUGUCUGAGAUGUCAACUUGGACUCCAACACAAAGUGCCUGGCAAACCCAACAGAAACACAUUUUUUAGAGGGAAAUGACAUGAUCUUCAAAGAAACAACAAAAAGCAACCUAGACGUGAUGAAAAUAAUUCAGAGUUUCAUUCAUUAAUACAAAUAGGCACUUAAAAUACAGAAAAAAAUGCAUCAACACUGCCGAUAUACAUCAGUGCAUAAAAAACUAUAUGACAUAAAUCUCCAAAAGCAAAAAAUACAUAAAAUUCAAUAAAACUAUUGAAUCAAACCAUACAGGUAUUAAGCAACAGAACAAUGUAGUAAGAUGAAAAGAAAGAAAAAGACUUAGAAACAAGCACGAACCACUCGAAGAUGACCCUGAAUCACUACUAGAACUGCUUGAACUACUACACUUGUUGUUUCUAAAUGCUGUAUCUUUCUCUAUCACCACCGGCGGAUAGCUUGAAAUAGGAGGGUCAUUGCCACCAAUAUCCACAUCUUCAUCAGCUGGCUCAUUGCCUGCUCACAAACAACAAAGAAUAAUACAACUGUAAGGUCUGAAGUCUCUAACGCACAAGUGUAUCUUGCAUUAAAAAAAGCUUGGAGUGGAACAAGAAGUUAACCUUUGCAAGGAUGCAUUGAUGAAUUACUAAGUCCAGAUACAUUUAGAAUCUGCAAGAGAAGUUGGUGCAGAAUUAGGAACACACGGAAUAAAUACCUGAUUUAUAGAUAUUCUAAGCAAUUAAUCUCACCUCCAUUUCACAAGGCUCAGCUUUUGCUUGCUGCCCAGCUUGUCUCUCUUCCAAAUGAUCAUCUAAAAGCUUCUUUAUUUCAAACAGACUAUCCUCACUAAGAGAAUCAAUAUCAAUCUCUAUCUCAUCCUCAUUAGUUUCAUUUGCAAUGCCGGCAUGGCUCCUCAAAAAAUCAAUGAUGUGUUCUGGAAGCUCCCCAGCUUCUAGGCGCCUACCCAAAUUCUGCUUCUCCUCCUCUGUCAUCUUUAGCUUAACGGUCUGAGGCACAACAAUAUUGUGAUUAACAGGAGAUGCUUUUCUCUUCUUUGGCUGCAACAUUGGCCUGGCAGCUUCUGUUUCACUUUUAACAGCUGCAUCAGCUGCAGCCAGUUUCUUUUCAAUAGGUUUCCAUCUGGUUUCAAAGAACUUGCUCAUGACAUCUGCCAUGAAAUGUACAUCAUUACCACGUGGAUUAUAGGUCAUGGCAUUGGUGAACGUAAGCCUUACAUCUGACACAAAAUCCCGUGGGCUAGAAUAAGCACCUGAAGCUAUCUUACUCUUAAUUGUUCCCAGAUCCAUUGGAUGCUUAAUAAUUUGGAAAUAAUCUGGGAUGUUCAACUUCACCACAUCAACAGGAGUAUUAAAUACCCAUCCAUACUGGUGUGACAUCAAGCGCUUCAGAAGUGCAUCGCACUGUUUCAUCAACAUGGCAUAUGAGUUGCUAAUAGGAAGCGGCAGACCCUGCCUAGCAGAUUCGAACCUUCCCGAGUUCCCACGCUUCAACUGCGGACCAUUCUGACACACAGGAUCCUGUUUCUUCACACGCCCAUCACUGGAGGACGAGAUGACUACCCCAUUAGCACCAAUCAUGCUCUUAGAGAGUAUUUUCUUCUGAAAUAACCGAACCUGCUCAAGCUCUCCUCUCAAUCUAAUUUCCAACUCCUUCCUCUCUGAAUUAGACAGCUUCGACAGAGAAAUUACUUCCAAUGGGACAUUGAAACCAUCACAUUUUUCCAUACUUAAGCUUAUACACUUCCUUUUUGGCGCACAAGAGUCAUCUGAGUCAGCACGGCCCGAGCUACCAAACCCUUCUGACUCACCAACCGUCUCAACUGCAUGCCAGUAGUCCGGGACAAAGCCUGAAGAGCAUGCCUUUGAGAACUUCUGCGUUUUCCCCAUCAUUGGAUCAAAAAAUCACAAACUUUUCUUCAAUUCUUUACCUUGGUGCAAUGUAAAAAAAACACUUUUUCUCCAAGGGUUAAACCAUCAAAUUUUUACAUAACCACCAUGCCACAGAAUCACUUCUUCAGAACUAUAAUAAGUUAUCUCUGUACAAUAUAAAUUUCAAAACUUGUCGGCGGAUUUAUAUAAAUUCUGGACGUUGAUGGUACUCAAUUCAAAUUUCCCACCAAAAUAAGUUGUCCAAGCUCUGUCUUUCUUCUUUUCACUAGCCUUUUAUGAGUAUCACAUUGCAGACCGAAUCAAUACGCCCACCUCCAAUCAGAGGUCUAAGAUAGGGUUUUGCUCUUCAUCAGAAAAACCAAAAAGUCCGCAGCAAAACCCUAGCUUUCACCCCAAACCCCAAAACCUAAAUUAAUAAACGAAUAACACAAACCCCCUCACCCAACUCUCAAUAGAUAAAACUAAAAAACCUAACCCUAGAUCUCCUCCAGCCACAACCCUUCGCAACAAACCUAAAGCUACGAGCAGUAAUGUCCCACAAAAAUCAAAACCCUAACUCCACAAAACCACCCCUACAUGGAGAGAACGAGAAAGAGAAGCGGAGAACAAAAAGAAAGCGUCGAGGUCGGUAAAAAACAAAGAAAAAAACACGGGAAACGCUUCCAAAAUCCAAUACAAAACCUGGAUCCCUAGCCGAGGAGCCGGUCCCGCGUGAAGAGAAACACUAGAAUGGAGACCUCACUCUUUCUUCUCCUCCUCCCUCUCACCCCCGCCCCCUCUCUCUCUCUCCCGCACCUCGCUUUCGUCUCCGCCUCUUCUUCUGAGCCUCGAGAGUGGAAGAACCCGACGAAGCCGCCCCUAUCGGAAAAAUGCGGACGAUGAAAACGGCGAGCGUGGCCUCGCCCAACGCCACCCCCCGGCCCUUAUAUAGGCCCGCUGUCUCGGCGCCCGCUCAAUCCUGGCCGUCCGUUGUCGUCCGUCCCCAAAUAGCGGUGUCAAUCGGACGGUUGAUAUUCGUAUCGAUGGCGGCCCCUCCGGAUACUUUCGAAAUCAACGGCUACGAUAUCGUCGGAUUAGUUGAGAGCCAGCCCGGCCCAUUAGCCAUCUAAACAAACAAAUACUACUACGUGUUAUAAUUAACGUGCUUAUAUUGGAUUUUAUUAUUUUGUUGAAAUUUAUGAUUGUUUAGGUACUCGUUAAUAUUGAAAACUUUGUUCUCAUAUCUAAAUGUGGACCAGGAAUUCAUCAAUCUAUAGGAUCAUGUUAUUUAUCUGUUUCUACAUAAGUAUGUAUUAUGUCUCUCUUGUGGUGAUCACACUCAAACCAUGCAGAAACGCCUUUAUAAGUAUAAGUAUUGACUUGUGAGCGUGGGGAAUGACUAGCUUCUACAUUCUACUUUAGCAAAUUAUAUAUUUGAAAUCAUUGAGUAAACUUCUUUGGUUGGCUGCCAGAUUAGAUAGGAUUUUAAAUAUCACAUCAAUGUUGAGAUUUAUUAUCAAGUCAUAUUCUAUUUAGGAUUCUAUUUUUAUUUGAUCAUUAGUUUUAAUGGUUUUAGGACACUAUUUAAUUAUUUCUUAUGUGUCCUAUUUUAAAUAGGAUUUUAUUUCUAAAAUGACUCUAUUUAGUUCAAAGCUUGUGUUUUAGUGAGCUUUUGGUUUUUGAGUUCCGUUACCAGUCAAAAAUGCUAUUCAUGUUAUGUUUUAUUUAAAGGGAUAUCUGACAUCUUCUUUAUAUACAGAAGAGUGUGGAAAAGGGUGUCUGAAAAAAGAAAUGAGAGAGAUUAUUUUUGUACCUAGAGACUUUUUGGUGAGGCAUUUUUGUGAGAGGAGCUAAAUUUAUUGUUUUGGUCUUUAUCUUCUUUUGAAUAGAUUUGUUAUUUUCUCCUAUAAGGAUUGUUUUCUCACAAUCAUCUUCGUAUGUUUUUUUUGUGUUUGGUGUUUGUUUUGGAUUUGGAUCGGUACAGUCGAUCUAUUCCAAAUAAUAUGCCAUUCUACAGAGUUAUGUAUGAUUUCUCAAAAAUGGAGUGUCUUUGCUUCCUAUUGGGACGCAAUCACUACAUGUUGAAUGGUUUCUUUUGCUGUUCCUUUACACGCGGGGUGGAGGUUUUCUUACAAGUUACAUCCUUUCUUUUGUAAACUUGUCCACAGAUGUUUUGGGACUGGCUGCCGCCUUUUGCAUCGGAAGCUGGACAGUUUCUGUUGCAGUUAUUUAUCAACCGAGAUCCUGAGAGUGAGAGGCCUUGGCUUGUCCACAGAAUGGCAGCGAAAAUACCACACUCUGCAUAAAGUUAUGUGAGACUCCACAGAGCAUGCACCCCGGUUAUACAUCCAUGAAUGGAAUUCAGUCCUCUUUAAACUCUUUACUACAGCAUUCGUGAGACCAUGCUCUUAUGAACAAGGGGCAUGACUAGAUGGUUUCAAUAUGUCCUUCAAAUUUAAUCUCUGGAGCCAGCUUAAAAUUUGUGGCAAAAAAGAAUGCAGGUUUUUUUGGUAGCAUUCCUUGGGAGCUCCUUGAUCAUAGCAUGCACACUCCUUGAAUAAUAUGUGGAUAAUUUUCAUUGUUGUUGCUAGAGUUGAUGGCCUUGUUUUCAUCCUGAUUAAGUUGAGGGUGUCAUGACACCUGGUCUAGUAAGCCCAACGUAGUGAUCUGGCCCAGAAUAAUAGAUAACCAAGUCCUCAAGCUAGCUGGCUGAGAUGGGAAGCCAAGACUCUUUUUUGGCUUCCUUUGUUCUUGGAAAUUAUUGCUUGCUUCUUCUUUUUGGUUAAUAAAUAUUGCUCUCUCUGUUACAAAAUGCACUGAAUAUCUCUAGGUUCUUAAAAUGGAAGUCUCCCUCACUGUGGCCAAUUCUUCACAAUGCAUUUCCACUGGAUUCCUAAACAAAAAUCUUGGUUUAGGCCUGAAGUUUUGGCAAUGAGCUUAAAGUAAUCUCCAAUUGUUAGUUUUAUUUCAUCAACUAGGAUUAUAUUAUUUUUCUUUUCAAUGUCAUUGAUUUCACUAAACCAGGAUUGAGGACUUAACUGCGCCUUGGAGAAUGUGGAUUAGGUAUAAAGGCCGAAUACAAUAAACAUACGAAGUUUCCACCAAAAAAAAAUUGUAGGAAGAGGUGAAUCUGCACAGAAAUCCCAGUUUCUUGCACCGUAUGUACCACCAGUGGAACUACUUGCUUUCUUUCUGCUGCAUAAGACAUGGAUUGCUGACUUUUCACAGAUUCACAAAAGCUGUUCAGGCUUGAUCCUUUUACACCAGAAAACAAGCAAGUCCAGAAUUAUAUAGCAUAAUGAAGGAUGUGAUUUCGAACUGUUAUAAUGUAGAAUCGACGAAAGCUGAAAACAGAUCAAUACAAACACAAACCAUACUAAUAUAGUAUGAUGUCCCAUUUACAGACCAGAACAAUCACUGCAAGCAAACUAACAUCUGUUUUGGUAACAUUCCAAGAUAUCAAUGUACAAAAAGAAUGUCCCACAAUUUAGAAAGUAACUUUAGAAACAGCCAAUUUGAUGGCCUAUUCUUGGUUAUAUCGCAACAUGACAAAUGAUUUAAAGGGACGAAUGCUGCUGGUGUGCAGAAGACGUCUGACAGCUGGAGUGUUUGCUGGGGCUCAAGAGCUGCCUUGAUCUACUUUCAACAACAAAUGCCGACGAGAAAUAGGUGAAAAUUGGAAAUAGAAAAGGCUGGAGAAAAGAGGGGAACAAAUUACACUGUUUUGCAACAAAUGGCCCAUGGCCAGGUGUUCGUUGGUCGCUUUUCCAACAUAUUAAGUGAAACUUCCUGAGUACAUUGCAUAAAGAAUUGCCAUACCAAUCAAGGUAGCAUGCCCACUGAUGCAACAGAAAAACAUAAUCUACUAGGUGAGAAACCAAGUUACAAAAUGUGCCAGUGAUGCUCUGAUGGUAGGUUCUCCUUGAUUUUUUCAAGCCUCUUGAGUAUCUCUAGAAAAGAAGGCCUCUGGUUCAUAUCAGCAGCCCAACAUUGGUCUGUCAACCUACAGAAUUUGAUAACCCAAAUCUUAAACAUCAGAUGAUGCAUUGAGAAUGUUAGCCAAGCAAAAUGAUCAAAGGUUGAGGGUUGCAAAACCAGUGGUGGAAUAAAAAAAAAUCAGUAACUUGUUGUUGAAGCAUGCCUAUGCUGUUCAAUAGUCAACUUUGUACUUACUCUCUCAAUUCUUGAACAUAUCCUUUUGCUCGAAAUGUUGGACGGUGUCCUUCUGCAGCAUACUUUGCAGCUUCAUAUGGUUCAUAAUUUGAGAAUGGGGGUUCUCCUUCAAGCAUCUGCAACAGAAAAGCACAGAUCUGUCAAAAAGUAUGGAGUUUAAAUAUUUGCCGGGCAAUUGUUAUUUCCAGGGCAACUUACCUCAUAUAAUAUCAUAGCAAAAGAGAAAACAUCGACUUUCUUAUCAUAUUUCCUGUGCUUGAAUACUUCAGGAGCCAUGUAUCGAUCUUCGGUUCUCAAAAAGCAACAUGGAAAUCAGCCCAAAAUUCAUAAUAUUAUUUAAUCUGAUAAACAGGUGUAAAACUUACAGCUUCCAGUUUCUCCGGUCAUCUUGUACACAUCAUGAGAGUGCUGUACUCUGAUCAGCUUGCUCAGUCCAAAAUCUCCAACCUUCAAAUGGUCCGCAUUGGAGUUCACCAAGAGAACAUUCCUGAAGCAAAUUAAUUUCAAUCAGCUCUAUAUUCAAUCAAAACAACAGCACAUGAGAAUCACUGACUGAAGUUACCUAGGUUUUAAAUCUCGGUGGAUUAUAACAUUUGGCUCAUUAUGAAGAUAAGCCAUGCCCCUGUAGACACAUGAAGCCAAGAAAAAGUGCGUAAGAAGCCACUGUCUACAUAGGAGAUGAUGUAAGCUGUCAGCUCAACCAGAUAAACAAACAAUCCUGGGAAAUAGGAAUCUGUUUUCACAAUAUAUCAAAGGAAUACAUAACUAUUCUUGUGAAAAGACUAAGCACUCAGAUGAUCACUAGGCAAAGCUGUAUUAACAUUUUCUUUGAUAUAUUUUGGAGACAGUUUUCUCCACCUCCAAAAAGGAUGGAUAAGAAAGAAAGCAAAAAUAUCAAAGCAGAAUUGCUCUGUGAUAUGAAUAAGUCCAGAAGAUCUGCUCAUACUAUUCUUGCUUUGCACUUCCAAACAUUGCCAGAGUUGAAGCUAACACGAAAGUGUGCAUAUAAAGAGUAUAUAAGCCUAUAUAUAUAGUGGAUUUAUAUUUCAUAUUUGCUAUCGUAUGUCAUUAAAAGGAGAGUAGCACUUCUGUUCAUGCUUCAGUGAAUAUGAAAUGAAAUAGCGAAUACUAAGAAAAGAAAGUUCUAUUUACCUGGCAAUAUCUAGUGCAAAAUUAACAGCUGUCAAUGGACUAAGUGAGCCCUUUUCUUUCAAGAACUGAUGAAGAUCACCCUGAAACAAUAUAGACACAAAGCAUUGCUUCAGAACAAAGAGAAUAUUGCGCAAAUUAGUUUUAAACAGGUCGCAUCAUCCAUACCCCUCGCAGAUAUUCUGUUAUUAGCAUCAAAGGCUUCCUCUCAGUGACUGCUCCAAGGAACUGGACAAUAUUAGGAUGGCGCAACUUCACAAGUAAAUUAACCUCAUGCCUGAAAUCUUGGCUGAAUCAAGAGAGUACAAGACUAUUAAGAAUAUGCUGUUUCCAUUGGGUCAAUUUCACUGCAUGUGAUGAGAUUCCGUUGAACAAACUAAUAAAUUUCUGGUGCUUUAGUUCGACUACAUCCUCAUUCUUGGAAACAAGAGCAACAAAACUUGCAUAGUUGGAGUGAUGCCUCUAUGGCAAUUCAGAAUUUCUAAAGCUUUUAUUAUAUCAUUCCAAAAUCUGCCUAACAUUCAGAUAAAAAAUAAAUAACUUGAUCAACCUAUAUCCAAAAUUCAAUUCAACUUUACCCAUUGACACUAGCUCAACUACUAGUGUUGCUUGCAUAGUUUUCCUUUCAAUAAAAUAUAAGACAAAAACACAAAGAUAAUUCACUAUGGCUUGUUACAUCAUAAUCUAUAAGGACCUUUUAUUUCUAGCAUUACAAAGUCAAGAAGCGGGUUAAUUGCUAGGGAACAAAUGUUAGAAAGAAAAUUAGAACAGGAUGAAUAUGAAAAAACCCUUGACAAUAGAACAAUGUAGAAAAAAGAUUUUGUAUAAAUUCAGUAUAAAUUCAUAACUGAGAAUUUAUUUUUUUUCCACAAAAAGUGAAUAAUUUAGGGAAAAUUAACAAAAGAUAUGAUAUGUCUAUAUUAUUUUGGUGGAUAAUGCAAGCACAUUGAGGGUGUAUCAUAGUUGUGAAUCUGUUCUAUCACAGAUGUUUUAAAGUAUAGCAUAUAGAGCAUACUAUUAUUAAAGCAAUGGAAUAUACUAAGUUGAAUAGUGAUUCAAAAGUUGAGUAUGCAUAUCCCAAAGUAUAGAGCAUACUAUUUAGUAUGCAAGUACAUCGAGGGUGUAUCAUAGUUGUGAAUCUUUCUAUCACAAAUGUUCUAAAGUAUAGUGUAUAGAGCAUACUAUUAUUAAAGCAAUUGAAUAUACUAAGUUGAAUACUGAUUCAAUAGUUGAGUAUGCAUAUCCCAAAGCAAACAAAUUCUGCAUUUAUGCAUUUAAGUUACAAAAAGGGCCACGAAUUUAUCAGAUAAAAAUUGUGUAUAUCAGAAGAUGAAGAAAGGAAUAAAAUGCCUUACAUCACCAAUCUAUCAUCUGACAGAGAUGGAAGAAUACGUUUGACUGCCACAGGCGUUCCACGCCAAUAAGCUUUUAAAAUUUCACCAAAUGAACCCUGCAAUCGUGAGCUAUUACUACUAAAAGAAAACAAGGAUAGACUCGAAAAUUACAACAUCAUAAAGUUCCCAAAAACUAAUUUUGAUUCAAGAUAACUUGGACAACUUGUUGCUUAAUAGAUGUAUCUUAAGAGGAAAAUAAGAUUCAUGUUGGAGUAUAUGCACUAUGUUUAGAUAUCACAAUAUAAGACAAAGUUCAUUGAAAAAAUAAUUUUCCAUAGAAAAGUUUUAGCCAUUUGUGGAACAAAGUAAUCAUCCAGCCAAGCAUACAGCAGAAUCUCAAGAUUAAAAGCAACAUCAACUCCACACUCCUUAAAUGACUACUGUUAACUACAGACUACAAUUUUGGGUUCCACAAGUGCUAAUGCUUUGGGACACAGGUAUUUUGUGACUAGUUAUGACAAUUCCUUUCACUUUGACAUCAUGACAACAUCUCAUUUCAGUAGUACUUCACAUUUGGCAAAUCUGUUAUAUCAUGAUUCUUUAGGACUUCAAAUAAUUCUCGACUUAUGAAAUCUCAAAUAUCGUUUUUUGAAAAUCACAUUUUGGUGAAAUGAUGUAAGGUCGGUGUUCCUACAUGGAGCUUUAAGCAUAUAAACAAAUAGCAAAUAUCAAUAGCUCACACAAAGGCAGGCAAACAUACAGUGUACAACGAAUAUUUCUUCCAAAUUCCCACUUCAGUUUGAGCUUUUAGCAAGGCCAUUUAUGAUCAUGAUCAUAAUGGUGAGCUACAAAUUUAAUUGGACCUUCAACCGAGAUUUUAAAUCCCCUGGGACAAAGAUGUCCCGGUUCUCCAUGGAACGGGAUGCCCCACUAUACUGUUCUGUCCCGCCAGCAGUUCCGAUCAUGCAUCCCAACAGAUAUCCUCCAUUUUUCUCCAAUUCUUCUUUUUCUUCUUCUUUCUUUUCUUUCUUUUUCUCUACUUUCCUUUCCUUUUUCUUUCUUUUUCUUCUCCCUUCCCUUCUUUUUUCAUUUUUCUUCUUCUUUCCUUUUCAUUUCUCCCUUUUCUUCAUCUUUCCUUCAUUUUCUCCUUUCCUCUUUCUUCUUCUCUCACUGCAAGUAUGGAUUUCAGAGUCCUGAGUCCGUCCCGAUCCCGUUUUCUCAUAGGAACGGGAGGAAUGGCCGGGACGCCCUCCGUCCCGCCAAGACGUAAAACCUUGCCUUCAACAUUUGGUCCUUUAUUCUUCUGUUUUUGCUUUAUUGCACUCAUUUCAAGCUCAAGCUUCCUAGUCACAUCCACAUUUGAUGGUUGCUAAAGAACUAGUGGAUUUCUUUCUGCAUCAACAUGCCCUUUGUUUUGGUUGCUUGACCAGAAGAAAUUUCAGAUAUAACAACUGCAUGGUUUGGAAUUCCGCAAGGUUGUGAUUCGAAGAAUGACUUAGUUGAUAUCAAGCUCCAAAUAGAUUUGAAGUUCCAAAUGUAAAAUGAUAAACAUGAUGACAUCUCAAGGUUUUAUAUUAAGCAUCUUCUAUGGACCUAGAAGUCCAGGCCUGCGGUGAUUAAUACAUAAUACUAGGGAGACAAUAUGCAGAGGACAUACAAGAGUAAACUGACACAUUCAAAUUCAACAGCAAAAAUGUGCUCUCAAGUAGCAGAAAAGUUGAGAAAUGCAGGUUAAGCCGUUUGCAAAGACAAGUUCUUAGCCUUUAUGAUCGACAACUACACAUAUAAUUCUGGGCAAUAAAAAGUUAGAGAUACUGCUUAAUAGCUAAUAACAAGCUUCUAGUAGUCAAUUGAUUCAGAAAGGUAAAGGGAACUUGAAACCUUCAAAACAUUUCAGGCUCUAGGUUUUCUGUUUCAUCCAACCAAUCUGAAAUCUGAAUAAUAAAUUAAUGUACAAGAUUUAUUAACCUGUACAUGAUGAAAUAUCAGAAACAUUAAUAGCAGAGAAGAACCUUUCCAAUUAUGCUUGAAGUCGAGAAAUCCAACUCGGAGGGUUCUAUUUCCCAGUCACACUUGUUAGGAAGAGGAGGUGGAACAGGCUUCGGUUCAAAAUGGCUGCCAUUUUGUCCCUGCAGUACAUAUACAGGUAAAAAAAGCUGAUUAUAAAAGAUUAAACAAUAAAGAGAAUUAAACAAUAUACUACCGCAAAAGGAAUGCAAACGUCAUGAAAUCAUCAUAUAACAAUAUGUACUUGAGCAUCAUGGAUGGAGGAGCCAGUAGCUUUCUUUGGUCUGAGAUAAUGAAAGCAAAUGAACUAUAUAUUCAACAAACUAGUUUGGAGUUGCUAAAGUUACUAUUGCAGUUAUCUGUAUUGUAGAGACUGUACAUAUGUGCAAAACCAUUGAACAACUGAAUCACCUGUACAAACGUUGAACCCCAUCAUUGAAUUAUAUAUGGUAAGAAGCACUUCCAAAACUACCUUCCCCAGUUACAUAAUAACUGACCUGCAAUCUCUUGCAUGAUUCUUUAACAAUACAUUUGAAUAUUUACCAUGAAACAACAAAUGUUCCUUUCCCUGUCUCUGCCCUUGGAUUUAAUUACUACCUUAAACAGAUUUUUUCACAAACCUUCACCUGAAUGCAGUAACUUUUUUCUGGUGAUUGACAGUCCUUUACAGAACUGAAAAAGCAAUGAAGGUUUGAUCAAAUUUUCCUCAAGGACCAUAACUUCAUCAUUAAAUGAUCAAAGAUUCAUAUGAACUUCGUUUCCUUCUCUACUUUAUUAUGUAUUUGCAUCAUAAUACAAUAUAUUUUCGUAAACUAUAAACAGUGCCACCCACAAUGAUUUAAAAUAAUUAAACUACCUAGCAGGUAAAAAUUGUAUAUCAAGUCACUUAUAUGAGGAUUUUUUUUUAGGUUCAUCGGAAUUUGAGAUGGUGCAAACAAUGGUGGGGGUGCAGUUUCUUACUGAAAAGUUAAAACACACCUGCACAAGCUCAGGCCCUCUCAAAAACCAUGUUUCCUUGGUCAACCCCUCUCCCCGGGGUUUUGAAGAUCAACUUUGAGUCUUUUGAGGUAGCUGGGGUGGGUUACUUAGUCCCAGACCACCAAGGCAAGGUUCAUGCAGUUGGAGCUUGCUCAUUUUUGUGUAUGACAAUCUCUAUGGCUGAAUUGUGUGCCACGUGCGGCUAUGAAGUUGACAAUAUCACAACUAUGACCCCUCAGACUUUCGUGGGAGGGAGACUCUCUCAUGAUGGUUAAAUGGAUCCAAUGCAGCCAACUUCCAUUGCACAGACCCACCCAUGUACUCUUGAUAUAUGGCACAUGGUGUCGCAGCUACAGGAGUUUUGGGUUCCACACAUUUUCAGACAAGCCAACCAACCAGCCAAUUUUUGGCUUUGCUGCACAGAAUGGGGGUUGUUGGUUGUGGCCUGAGACCCUCUCUAGACAACUUAAUGAUUUUGUAUACGUGGAUAACUCUGCCUGUGUGUGUGUGUGUGUGUGUGUGUGUAGUAUAUAUAUAUAUAUAUAUAUAUAUAUAUAUAUAUAUUANNNNNNNNNNNNNNNNNNNNUUAAGUAUGAAACAGCCCAUAAGAUCAAAAUACAAAAUAUCCCGCAAGGCCAGCAGGCAAGUGUCACCCUAUUAGAAUCAAAUAAAUACAUUACUCUGCUCCCCACUUCACCCUGCCUCCCAAAAAAAAAAAAAAAAAGAAACAUGCACAACAUUGCACUCUCAACACAACCAUACUUCUAACUUCUAAGGUUGCAUUCUUACACCAACAUGCAAAUGUUAGACCUGUUCGAAUUUACAGAAACUUGUUUUGGUCCUUCUAUCAUCUUAAUCAUAUUGCAAACUUGAUGACAACUUAGCUCCAUCUAUCACACCUUGCCAUCUUCACUCCUAGUCUAUCCAACUCUACAGGAAUAUAUGAGGAUUGCUGAUGUAGAGUUGAUCUAAAGCAAUCAAUCUACAAUUGCAUGAAUCUGAAAUUGACUUUAGAUAUGAGAAGGAAAGAUGAUAAUUUCUGGAUCUUCUUUGAUUUCUGAAGUCUAAGUCGAUUCCAUAACAAGAGCUGCGAUCCACAACCUAAGAUCGAUGCACCAAUCUUGUAAAAAGAAGAGAAAAAUGAGAAGUAUGAAUUAAUUUUCUAUGAAUAACAUUCAGCAUUACAGCAGAGACCCCUUUUAAAACCCUAUAACAUCUCUCAAACUUUCAUUAAGCUUGAAGCAAUCAAAGGACUCUUUCCUUAUUUUUUCCUAAAAUGAAAAAGGAAACAAAGAAAUGGAGUGAUGCUAUAUGGAACUUAUUUCAUACACAUAAAAGUCCCCUUUUCCAUGUGGUGCAACGGGAUUAGCACAACUCACAAGAAUUGGUCUGACAAAAGCGGGGGUGGUUAAAAGUUGAGUUGCCAUACCAGCCACAUGUGAGCCCAAGAAACUUAUCAUGUGCACUAACAAGUGCCCUAAAGCAUUUACCUAAAAGAAGAAAGCUCAUUUUAGACUCACAGCCAAAAGGGAAGGCCAAUUAGACGUUUACCUCCCAUAACCAGCCCUAAGAAAUAAUCAUCUGGCCAAGGUUUUGAAUCCUAUGAGAUGGGGCUGUUUGGUUUUCCCAUAGAACAAGAUGCACCGCCAUCCCAUCCUAUCCUAACACUCGGGAUAAGUAAUGUCCCAAGACGUGCCAAUCAGGACAUGGGGAUGAUGGCAAGAUGGUCCCGCCCUAACAUAUGGGAUGGUACCCCAUUUUUAUGUCUUAUGGGACAUCCGGCCGAAACUUGAAUCCGUGCAUCCAACCCCUUCUUGCACCCAAAGAGUAGUGGAAACACCACAUAAUACAGAUGACCCACUUAGGGCUUCCUAUAGGUCAACCAAUCCUUUACUGGCGCUCAUAUUGCUAACUUGGAACUAUGACUAAAAAAUUGGAUCAAUAUAGAUUCAAUAGACCAUCCAAAGAAUCUAAUCUUGGGCUUUAAUCACCCAAAUAGACAAUAUUUACAAAAAAAUCUCCUUGACUUAUGAUAUGUUUUCUGUAUGACAAUCAAUGAAAAUAGAAGCAAAUGCUGAGCAUUAGAAAAAGGCAAUACAAAAACAAGCCAAAUGACUAUUUAUUACUUGAGAAGCUUCAAACAGCUGAAAAGAAUAUACUUGAUAAAGUAUACAGAAAAUUUUAAACAAAAAGUGAAGUGAUAUGGGAGAGACACAUCAUAUACAAUAGGAAAGAGAGGUAAGAUGUGAUUUAGUAAUCAAUGUAACUAAGUUUCAGGCCAGGUUCUCCCAGCCAAAAAUGAACUCACAUAAUAGCCAUAUGCCACCUAACACAGAACUUUGUUUCAAGAGCAAACAGACCACAAUUUCGUUAGUAACAACACUUAAUAAGUAUAUGCUAUCUAGACAUCAAUUCCUCCAUUGCAGAAGAAACUACAAAGGCCUUUAAUAAUAGUAUCAAGGUUAAUUACUGUAGGAGUUAUAGUAUACAUGUAUGCAGUGAUGUAAGAAUAAUCGGUCUUCAAUACGGUCCAAAAUGACAAGAGAACUUACAAAAGACAAGCCUCCAUAUGAUUUUAACAGCUCAAUCAUGUUGUGCUUUUUAGCUCCUUCAGCAUCAGCCAGUGGCUGUGAAGAACAAAUUAAAAUUUACCGCAUGAGACACAUAUAGGCAAUUUAAAAAUUAAUACUGCAUAACUGUAAAUGAAGAUCAUUGGAAGCUUUUCUAAAACAACAGUCAAGACACAUCCAAAAAAGUAGAAAUCGAGCAUCAAAUAUAACGACUUUCAAUUUGUAUGCAUGCAUAUGGAGAAUGGUCAAAAGCAGCAUGUAUUUCUUGAAUAUGAAAAUCAGGAAGAAUCUUUGUUUGGUUACUAUGAAGCACAAGGAAUUAAUACAUGGAGAACUUUUGUGGUGUCUUCUCCCCCCCCCCCCCCCCCCCAAAAAAAAAAAUUGAAGAUAAAUGUUCUUAUUCUUAAAUGCAUUUCAUUUAAAUUUCAAUAAUUAUAGUAAUUGAAUUUACUGUUCCUUUCGCUUAACAUAAAAAUGAUCUAGAUUUAAAACUUGCCUUUAAACUGAAUGUCUAUUGAUUAGUUACUUGCUAAUCUACAAGUCAAACAGAAGCAAAUUCUACCCAAAAAGAAAGAAAGAAAGGAAAAAAAAAAAAUCUCCAUCCGUUAUUUUUGCAAAAUUUAGACCUAGACUUCUCACUUAAUAAUCACUCGUUUACCAUGUAAGAAUACUGAUAAAUAAGAAGAAAAAUUUAUGACAUUUUUAUUGCAGGAGGACAAGCAAGCAAAAUGAAUUCAAUUCUUGAUGUAUACUAAUCAUGCCUGUGAUUCUACUGAUAUCGGAAUGCAUUAUGCCUUAAAAUUGACUGGCCAAUUCACAGCUCUCUGCCCAAAACCAUCUAAUGAGAGACCAAAAGCAAUAGAAUUCUAUUCCAUUACAAGAUGAUGAAUCCAAUGGAGCAAAAGCAUCGAUGAAGACCAGAGAUAAUGACGAGAAUGACCGACCGUGUUCUUCCAACGAUCCUGGGCAUUGACGUCGGCGCCGAAUUCAAGGAGGCACUUGGCGACGUCGAUCCAGCCGUGGAGGGAGGCGACGUGGAGCGGGGUGCGGUGGUCGUAGUCGCGGGCGUUGACGAGGCCGGGGUCUUCCUCCAGGAGCUUCCGCACCGCCGACGCGUCGUUCUGGUGGGUGUGCCACAGGAUCAGCGACGUCCGGCUCACCCUCGCCUUCUCCCUCUCCUUCGCCGCCGCCGACCCGCUCGCCCCCUCCCCGCCGCUGCUCAUCUCUCUCCCUCCCGUAGCGUAUCGGAAUCGGAUCGAUCGCGGAUCGUAUCCUACUGCUACUUUCUCGACGUCACAGUCCUCUAAUCUCUCUACCCUUCUCUUGGGCCUCGAGGACGUGCCUCGGGACCCGGUCCGCGGAUCUAGAUCUCAACCCAGACUAGGUGCUCACGCUUCGUUACGGUUUGACAAGGGCAGCGGGUUGUCGGCAAACGGCGACGUGGGAUUACGAGUCACAUUCCGUUUAAUAUUCCUCAAUGCUGGGGGAGUAUUUGACUUCUCAUAUUCGGAAUGCACAUAUGUGAUGUGAUUGUGUAUAUAUGUAUGUUAUGCUGAAAAGAAAAUUGGACAAGUUGGGCCUUGGAUAAGUGGCUUUUGUUUGUGAUGUUAUUGCCUAGAUUUUUUUUUUUCAACAUAAAUUUGUGUCACAAUCUAAUUGUCAUUUUCUCCUUUGAAUAGUCCUUAUCUGAUUCCAUACUUUCUUUUACUUUUCUAACUUUGUAUAACAUGCUUUUGAUUUAAUCUUAUCUGGAAUGUAACUAUUCUUUCUAUUUUACAAUAAUAAAAUAGAUAUAUUUUUUAUUAUUAAAAAAUUAUUGAAUUAUUUUUUUGAAUAAUUUUGUAAAAUAUUUUCAAUAAAAAAAAUGAUCAAAAAUUCUUCUAAUAUUAUUCAUUGAUUUUACUGCUUAUUCAUGAAUCAUUCAAGACAUUAAUGUACAUUUCAAAUAAUGAUGUAUGUGUUACCAUUUUUUUUGAAAUCUUUUUAUGUAUAUAUCUUUUUAAUAAAAUUUACAUAAAUAUUUUUUCAAAAUUAAUAUAUAUAUAUUUUUAUAAAAUAUUUAUUUUAUAUAUAUAAUCUCUAUUUCUUUUUUUUAUACGUACCCAAGUCAUCUUAGUAAUUUAAAAUUAAAAUAAUUAAAAUAUUUUUAAUAAAUAAAUAUGCCAUUAUAAGAUAUAUAUGUAAACAGCAAGACAUCAAUUUAUAAAAAAAUAUUUACGCAGAUUUAAUAUUUAAAAGGAUAUGUGAAAAAAAAAAAAAAACCCUUUUUUUAACUAUAUGUCUCCUUCCAUUUCUUCCAUGUCUAAACGAGAGCUUGUGUGCAAGACUCUUGACGUCGACAUCGACAAACAGUUCGCAAUCCAGGAAUCCGCUCGGAAUUUGACGUCCAAAAAGCUCAAAGCUCGCACGAGGCCAUGCCUUUUUAUCGCCGGCAGCGGCCGCCCAUUCGCUGGAAAAAGGUUCUCCAAAAGGAGCAGCACUGCGGAAUACUUCGGGGACAAGCAAAGCAACUCGACGGGGGAGAUGAUAUCCAUGGAGGCGGAGCCGGAUAGCGUAUACCGUAGCCGAGCCUGCAUAUUAGAUAGAGAUGGAGGCAGGAGAUGGAAGAGAAGCGAUAGCGUUCUUCGACGUGGAGACGACGGUGCCGGGGCCGUGGGGUGGGACACGACGUUCGCUGCUGGAGUUCGGGGCGAUCUUGGUGUGCCCGCGGCAGCUUGUGGAGGUGGGAAGCUACUCCACCCUCAUCCGCCCGGCCGACUCCUCCGCCACCUCCGUCCGCUGCAACGGCAUCAACCCGGAGACGGUGGCCUCUGCGCCCUCCUUCCCCGAGGUCGCCGACCAGAUCUUCGCCAUCCUCCAUGGUAUCCCUUUAUGUUCUGCUUUUCUUGCUCGAAAGUGUUGGGCUUUUGUUGCUGGUUCUUUUGUCGAACAUUUGAUGGGCAGGACGGGUGUGGGCGGGGCACAACAUCGUGGAGUUCGACUGUCGGGUGAUAAGGGAGGCGUUUGCGGAGACUGGGCGAGCUCCGCCGGAGCCCAAGGGGAUCAUUGACACCUUACCGUUGCUGACCCAGACGUUUCGGAGGAGGGCGGGCGACAUGAAGGUAAGGGGAAAUGGGCUUAUGGUGCUUCCGCACGCUCGAAAAGUGCCUCCUUGGUUGCCUUGAGUGAGACAUCCAACAAUGCUUCUCCCACUGUAUCACAGCUAGUAAACUAAGUUAACAUUUCGAAUUUGGAUGGAAAGAAGGAUUUUUUUUUUUUUUUUUUGAAAAUUGGUCUUUUGAACAGGCUUUGGGAGACUUCAUUCCAUAUUUGAAUCUCUAUUAUAUAAUACAAAAGACUUGGGUGAAUGCACAAUCCUGAAAGUGAGGGGCUUAGUACUGCUUUUGAUUCAACCUGCUGUUCUAGAUAACCAGGAGCAAAUUUUAAUAGAUUCUUAGUUCCUUAUGAAGAAAUGUCAUCAGAAUUAAAGAAAAAAUUGACUGAUUGACAAACAAACAUUUUGUCUGCAGUUGGCUAAUUUGGCAUGUUAUUUUGGUCUCGGCCAACAGAAGCACAGGUAUGCUCUAGCACAGAUAUGACUUCAAUGUAUACAUUUGCACUAUCUGAAACAAAUGUUUACCUUGUGUUCCAUUGAUUAUUUGGUGUCAUUUCUUGAAUCACGACACUGUUGACUUUAAAGUCUUGUCUAACUUGGUCUAUCAAAAGAAAACAGGAAAGGGAACUUUCUUGCUGCAGCUAGAUAGAUGAUGAAUGAAGUGGUGAGAUGCUUUCAUUGCGUAUGAUCAAGAUAUGCCUUCAUUACUUGAACUAUUAUAAUUAUCAGAAACGUUAAGGUAUGCACUGAUGUGGCUUAGAAUAAGUGCAAGCUUGUAGAAUGAGGGUAAACGGAAUUAGAAUUAUGGUACGGAUAAAUGCUAAAGCCAUGAGGGAUAGGUUUUGUUGGCAUCUGCCAUGUGGCAUAACAAUUGCACUGAGGAUGGAUUAGUGGAAAAUCAAGUAAAAUUUUGAGCAUGUGGCUGUUGCUUCAAAGAAGCUCCACAGAGGACAGUGGAUCUAAUACAUGAUGUGCAAGUGGUUGGGAUACUGCAUAGCACCUAGGCAGUUUGCGGGUGCCUAGGUGGAGGAGGUGAAGGAGGAAAAGGAGGAUCAAGGGAAAGAAGAAUGAGGGGAAAAGGUGGAGGAGGUUGGAAGGAGAAUGGAAAGAAAACAAGGUGCAGCAGGUGGAAGGAGAGAUUUAAUUAGGAAGGUUUAACAUGGAACCCAAGCACUUCUAGGAUUUAAAUGAGAUAAACUUCGAAAGCAAAAGGUGGAGAUGAGCUGCUUGUACAAUGCAACCUUUUUAAGGUUGUCAGAAUUAUAAACUCUUCAUUUCUCUUUCCACUAAAUCUAUUAUAGUCUAUUGACAAUGCAACUUGCUACUACUUUUCCUGGUUGUAGUCAUUUUUACAAAUUUUUUCCCCUUGGAUUUGCUAUUGUUUAUUUCCUUUGAAUUUAUAUGGAGCACUUGUUUUUGACUUUUGUAUCAUUCAACCUCCCCCCCCUCUUCUUCUCUAGUUGUCAAAUUAUCCAUAUAAGUUCAUUUUUAUUAAGGUAACUACAGAAAAUCUACGAGACAGAGCAUCAUGUUUCUUUCCAGACAACAUUGUCUGCAUUAGAAUUUCCAUUUAUAUGGGUCAAGCUAACUGUUAUAACCUGAAGAAGUUUGAUUAUAAUUUAUGAGCUGCUGUCAACCUGGUGUCAUCCCUUUGAGAAACAUUGCCAAAUUUUUGAUCAAGGCAACUGGCAGGAAAAGGGCCUGCCAUGAAACCUGUAAGACUAGUUGAUGUAUAUGAAUAUUAAUGCAUAAUAGUUUCCAUGUGUGUCUCCAUACAUGUGUGUACAUCAUUUAUACAAGUUGUAUUGGUUCAUUUGUUAUGAACUUCUAUGUCUUUUGACUCAAUUUCAGGCAAUUUGUUUUACUAUAAUCCUAAAAUGUUAGUUUUCUAUUUGAUCUUUCUCUCCAGGAGCUUAGAUGAUGUCCGAAUGAAUAUCGAAGUUCUCAAGUGCUGUGCUACAGUGUUGUUCUUGGUAAGCAUAAAACCUUUUAAAAAUAUUGCAGUCUUUCCUCAAGGAAUGAUUUGAAGUUUGCGAGAGGUUUCUUGCAUUGAUCUCCACUUGUUGGAGCUAUUCUGUCGGAAUCUUAGGAACCAUAUGAGAUUCUUUUUAAAUAUAAAUUGGCAAUUGAAUAAAAAUAUAUGUUCUAAGAAUGUUCAUGAAUGACACAAUGUCAGCUAGAAGUUUGUUGAAUGAUUCUCCAUGUACAGGAGCUACUCUUUCUGAAUCUUGAGAUUUGCAAAGUUCCCUCUUUUUUCCCCUACUAAACAAAUUUGGGAAUGAUAUAGGAACUAAUAAUAUUCCUCACUUCUCUUUCAUCUCCAUUAUCAUAAGGCUCUCUCAAUUGCCCUUAUUUUGGAUGAAAGCUGUAUUAUUGUUUAUGCUAUGCGCAUGCUGAAUUCUUGUAGAACUCCAAAUGAAAAUUAAUCUCAACUCUCCUAGUAAAUACUAUGUCCUAGCUAACCGGAAUUCAAACUCCCUUUUCAAGGAGUCUUAAAUCUAUUAAGAUUCUCUUCUUAAUUUUCAUUUUUAAACAUAAUCAAAAUUGUGUAAAGUAAUUUACAUCGUAAAUUGCAACUUUUUGAAUUAUAUCUUGAAGAUCAAAGAAAGUAUAGAAAAGUGUUUUUUGCAUGUAAACGCUCAUGAAUGUCUGAUUUUGUCCAGAGACCUUUCCAAAAACACUAUUUGCUGGUAUACCCUUUAAAACCCUCUCUAUUUGCAUGCCUGCAUGUGCAGUUAGCCUGCUGUCCAACAUUGUUAGAAACUAGUUAUUUAACAAUAAAGAGUCAAGAUGCCCCUGACCCAACAGUAAAAAGGUUGAGUGAAUCAACAUUUUAGACCAAGGGCAAGACAAUCAUGUUGCAAGACUAGUUAAAUUUUAACUCUGUGAAACCCUAGUUAAGCUGACACAAUCAAUGGCCCAUGACAGCAUAUACAUGCGAAUAGAAAGGUUUUGAAGCAUGUAUCCACAAAUAGUUUUUUUGGAAAUGUGUCCAUGCAAAAUUGGAUAUUCAUGAGGACAUACAUGCACAAGACACUAAAAGAUUAUUGACAUUGGCAUGAUUCUAGUGUCAAUGGUCAACAGUGCUUUUAGGUAAUGCAAUCAUUAUUUCCAUCAUGAUGGCUGUUAUAAAACAAACUACCUCCACAUCAGCAUUGUAUCUGAUCAUCCAAGCAAUUCUUAGGGAGUGGUUUGCCCAUUGUUUUAUUAUUUUUUUUGCUUUAACCUUUUGGUUUGUAAUAUUGCAUCUAAGAAUAUGUGUCAUUUAUAUCAUCUUUUUAUGAUCUAGACCUGUUUUCUUUAAAGCACAUGAUAGACAAAAUGAUUUGGAUGAUUGUAAGAUAUAAUCUCUCUCUCUCUCUCCUCCCCUCCUAACCCNNNNNNNNNNNNNNNNNNNNCUCUCUCUCUCUCUCUCUCUCUCUCUCUCUCUCUCUCCCCGGGAUGGCUUUAAUGUUCUUAAGGCAAAAUUGAAGUGGCUAUUGCUAAAAAUUUGUGGCUGGCCAUUCAAAUGGAUGAUCUACACUGUUUGUAAAUUUUUACAUCAUGCAAAUUUAGAAAUUAAAACUUUAAAUCAAAUUUUCUAAAACUUUUUUUCUUGUGCGUUAAUAGUGACCAAUGGAUUGUUCUCAAAUAACAAGAUAAAUUAUUUGUUUUGUUCCUUGAUUGGAAAAUAUUUAAACCACUUUAAUUUGGUCCAUAUGUUCUAAGAUAUUAUUGGAUUCUGAUGAACAAUGCGGAUCAUUUAUUUAAAAAUCCCCAAUUUGUAUAUUUGCACCUAGGCAUGAGCACUAGUUUUGCUCUGGGAACAUUAAAACUGUCUUCCUGUCUUCUCCUUUACUGGUCACUUCUGUCUUCUUGAUGAAUUUCAAUUUUGUUGAAGCAUGUGUCUCAUACAAAUGCAUGACCGAGACAUUUGUUUAUGGGUAUAUUCCGCUGACUUCUGAAGUUCCUGCAGGAAACAAGUUUCCCGGAUUUAUUUUCUAUCAAGUCACCUGGGAUGUCCUGCACCAUUAUUCCUGCUUCUGAGGGCUGCAGCAGUUUUGCUGGAUUUCUAGAGCCUGAUGAAGUCUCAGUGCAGGAUAUCAGGGCAGCCAUUGCCCCUUCUGGUUAUGGUGGUCACAAAUUACGUAUACUACAUGGAGAUUGCCCGCUACGGCUUCAUUGCAUGGGACUGAAAGUCCAAUUUGGGCCACGUGGACAAUUUAAGGACCAUGCUGGCUGGCCGAAACUGAAUAUAGUGGUUUAUAUCCCAGAAAGUUUAUGCAAGGUUUUGGAUGCCUGUGACCUUCUUGCCCAAAUAUCAUCUCAGAAUUCUAGUAGCAGGUCUGACUGGAAACAUGUAAUUAUGAAGAAUGGCUACUCAAAUCCUUAUAGCAUUCGAUUGCAGUAAGUUUCUGUGAUUUUUUGGAUCUUAUCGUUUUUUCACCUUUUUCUUUCUAACAUAAAGUGGUGAUACAAGAAAGCUGCUGGAUAACUGAUCUCUCUCUCUNNNNNNNNNNNNNNNNNNNNNNNNNNNNNNNNNNNNNNNNNNNNNNNNNNNNNNNNNNNNNNNNNNNNNNNNNNNNNNNNNNNNNNNNNNNNNNNNNNNNNNNNNNNNNNNNNNNNNNNNNNNNNNNNNNNNNNNNNNNNNNNNNNNNNNNNNNNNNNNNNNNNNNNNNNNNNNNNNNNNNNNNNNNNNNNNNNNNNNNNNNNNNNNNNNNNNNNNNNNNNNNNNNNNNNNNNNNNNNNNNNNNNNNNNNNNAUAUAUAUAUAUAUAUAUAUUAUGUAUUUUCAGCAUGUCAUCCAAGUACUCCUGCUCUAGGCUAAACAAGUUGUCCAAGCAUAUUGUAAUUUCAAAACCAGCAAACCUAGCAUUUUCCCUUUUUUCAGUCCAUACCAACCACAUGAAAAAGCCAGCGGAAGCAUGUACUGUACUGCAACUCAAGAUGUUGGGCAUCUAAAUACCGUUGUGCUGUUAUUGCAUCUAUUCAUUUCUGCUAAACAGUGCUUUGUUUCUCCAUGCUUUGUCAAUUGUGUGGGAUUGCAUGUGAUUAUAACGUCUAGUUCUCCUAUCCUGUUAUUUUGAUUAUUGUUAUUUUUUUGACACUAAUAGGAGUUGUUGAUUUGUCUAUUGUUGUCUCUUUAUAGCAUACCCAUAGUGGCAAAUGGUGAUGCUGCUAUCUACUCAACGGAAAUAUACAAGAAAGAUCUGUCUGGAAACAAGCAGAAGCUCGUGUUCACCACAUGUGACGUUGUCGAGCUUGCUUCCCUAAUUGUUCCAGGAACAAGUCUAGAUGCCUAUUUCUGGGUGGAUACAUAUGACCAUCUGCAGAGAGCUGGAAUCAGGCUAGAAGCGAAAAAAUUGAUCCUUUGUUCUCAAUAGAAGCAAAAAAUUAUUUGAGUGGCAGGAGGAAGAAAAAAAAAAUCAUGUCCUGAUUAGUGUUCUUAGCAGAAACUAUGUAAAUUACUCUAGCAACCACUAGCCAAUGAUGCCAUUAAUGUAACAGCAGACACUGUAUCCAUCGAGAAUGAAAAGGUAAAUCUGUUGAAUUAAUUUCUGCUUAAGAGAUCCAUACCAAUUUUUUGAUUCCUAGAUUUCUCUAUGAUUGCUUACAUAUACAUUAAGUACUCAAGCUUGCUUGUUGGUACUGAUGAUAAAAUAUAAAUAGCUAAUUCUUAUUAUCAGAUCAAACAAGAGUUAACAUAAACAUACUGAAAGAAAAUGUUUGUGUUAAAUAUAUAUGGCCAGACAGGAAAACUCUGUUGAAAAACUUGAGCCCUCGUAGCAAGUAAACUUUGCAACCAAAACCCAAUCAACAGAUCAGCUUUUACUCUCAGAAAAUGUUUGUGUUAAAUAUAUACGGCCAGAGAGGAUAACUCUGUUGAAAAACUUGGGCCCUUGAAGCAAGUAAACUUUGCAACCAAAACCCAAUCAACAGAUCAGCUUUUACCCCAUCUUUAAACUCUUUUCUCUUUCUGUAGCCAAUUCGGUACAAAAUAAAGACCUAUCUUUCAUUUCAAUGCACUUAACAUAUCAACAGAUAAAUAAAAUAUUACAAAAAAUUAGCUUGUUUAAUUAUACAACAUUUUACACAAGAUCCUGGUCUUCCAGAGACCACUUUCAAGCUCUUAAAUUUUGCUCUAGGCUUUUUGACAAUGGAGGUGUCCUGCAGAACAAAACAGCAAGCGCCUUCACCUGGUGACAGAUAUCAAAGACCUGUAGAUAAACAUGGAAAUGCGUUAGGGUCCAAUCAAACAAUUGCAAAACUUGUAUGUGAAAUUCUUACCGAUGAGGCCUCUAGUUCUGCAAUGCCUUCACAACCUUGACCUCCUCCUUGUAGCAGGUCACAGCAUCUCAUGGCAUCAUUCUCAUCAUCAAGCACCUCAAGAAAGCAGUUUCAGUCAGUAGCAUCUGGCACAAUAGGAACAGCAAUUUAUACUGCACCACCGGGGACAUACUAUGAACAUCAUUUGAUUGGAAAAUACAUGGAAUGCAGAUUUUAUUAUUUCAAUAGUUGGAACUGGGAAGAGAAUGCACAGGAUGCAUUAGACACUUGAAGUAUCCAUGAAGGCCUGGAAUGCAAGGUAACAUUACGUCAACAAACAAAUAGCCAGAUAUGUAUAACACCAUAUAUGAAUAUGAUGCUUAACAUUCAUAUGCUACCACAAGUUUAACACCCAGGGUCUAAACUAAUAACAAGGGAUGAGCAUGUUGCCUAGAAGAUUAAUUGCUAAUGAGAUUUAGAACCCAUAUGUUUGCUCCUUCAAAUGGCUUCGUCCAAGCAGAAAACUCCAAAAUAAUAUACAAAAUCCAAAUAUCCUACACUAAAAGAUCAGAAAUCCCGACAUUGCUUAUAGAAACAAAUUGCAUCAACACAGUAAACAUAGAUUUUUCAAAUGUGCUAGAAGAAGCAGUAGUAAUAAUCCAAACUCAUCAGCAAAUGCAGAAAGUCCUACGGACCCAUCCACACUAAUGCAAAGGGAAGCUAUGAUAAUUCCUUUUAUUUAUCAAAAUCAGUCAGCAAUGCAUAAUUUUUUCCCAAGUAUAUGGCGAAGUAAAUGUUUUCAAUACUUACAAGCACUCCUUCCCUGAUAUCUUCAACAAGCAUGGGAAACUUUAUGCCAACACAUGAAUGUCUAGCUUUACUGCCAUUUGCUGAACCACGCUUUCCUCCUUUGGAGAACAGCAGAUCAAGCUCCCUUUCAACUUCACUGCAUAAAGUGGUCCCUGAUAUCUUUUUUUAAAUAGCUAAGAUGCAGGAAACCAAAUCUGACAUGCGACUCCUGCGUGUUUUUAUAGUCCACAACUGGUUAUCCCUCUGAAUCAGCACAUAGACUCGUCUUGAGUCUUCCCUCCAAGGAUUGGUAUCCAAACAGGAACAAAGAGACAAAAUCUUAUACGGUGUAAAAUGUUUUAGAGACUCCAAAUUUCUGCAAAGAGAAAGCAACAUAUUGCACUUUGGAUAAUUCUAGAAUCUAAACGGGUGAAAAUGGGAGAAGAAACAAGUUCCAGUGUUCUACUUCUAUCUGAAACUGGAUAUCACAACUGUGCAAGGGUUAAACACUUAGACAAACCAAGUCAAUAGAUAUCGCAAAUGUAAAUUUUAUCUUUGAACAUAAUGAAAUACCUUAACCAACAGGGUUUAUCUGGCUAUAUGGAUCAAGAUUGAUCCAUCCAACGCUAAGAAUAUCUUACAAUUAGUUCACAGCUUGAAGCUAACCGUUUGAGUUGAGAUUAAUUUUCUAAGGAAACAUCGGACAAGAGGGGCCUCCCAAUGAACUAAAAGGCCACUUCGUAGGCAAUGCAACCAUUCUUGCUCACUGUAUGAUUUAACCCAUAUGAGUAGGAAGUAGCUCACAAAGGCUCCCCUGAACUUGUUUAUGUCAAGAAUAGGAGAAGUAGAGAUGACCUAACAUAGCAAACUGCUAUUAUCUUUGAGGCACAAAAAUUGCACACUGUUACAUGAUUCUCAGUUUAGAACAAGGAUGACAUAGAUGAUAUAAAUGAAAGCAUGUAUUUGGUCAAAUCAAUAUCUAAAAACUCAAUUACAGGUUUGAUCCUCUGGAUAGAGUUUUAGUUUUCAAAGUUUCAAAAGAUUCAGGUUUCGCUUUUAUGUUAUCCUAUACCUUUCUCAAUUUUUUAUAAUUUCCUAUACUUUUUGUUAUUUAUUACGAUUUUUCAUGUUUUCUCUAUUUUUUAUUUAACUAGCAUUCCUCUUGUAUAAUGUUAUAAGAGAGAGACGUAACGAGACAAAGCAAAAAACUACAGAUUCAUCUAUGAUCUCUUGGGAAUAGACUUUCCCUUACAUGUGUAGCCAUGCUAAUUUGUACCUUAAGAAAGCUCGAUUUUCUUUUGAACAACUGGUUUGAUUGAGCAAAUUUUAACCUUAAAAAAGAAAUAGUACUUGCAUUAUAAUCUGAUUCUAUCACUUCUAGGCCACGACAAUCUGGUCAAAAUAAACACUACGGGUGCAAAAACUCCUCUAAAAGAUGCUUCUUCUUGAGGAUCCCUCAAUAUUAUAUAUAAUUUAGCUACAACAGAAUACUCAAAACUCAAGUUAUGGCCUCCAAAAUUUAAGCUAGCACCAAAAUGCAAUACAUUUAGUACCACCUAAGAACAAAUACCGGUUCUGAUAUGAUAAGUAUAUUAAUUAGGACAUAGAAGCAUUAAAUUCUUUAUUAAUUGAUCCAUAUUAUGUAGAAUUUGAUACUUCUUAUUCUCUUUCGCAGAAAAUUGAGAGAUUAGACUAAUCAAGACUCAAAUUGAUCCAAAUCCAAAGCAAAACUCAAGAACAAAGGGUCAAGAGUAAUCAAUUGAAGGGCUAAUCAAAUAAGAAAGUAAUACAACAGCUAAGAAACAAUACUUCAUUCAACCGUCAAGAUUUAUGAUGCCAACUCAUGAAAACCCUAGAGAUACCAAAAUCCAAAGGAUAGGAAGCAAAAUAUCUAGAACCAAAGGCCAUCAAAGGAGGCCCACUUAAGAAACUUUCAACGUCCGAAUUAACUUCUUUUUUUUUUCUCUCCCUAGUUCAUGCCAACUAUGAAACCCCAUGUCCUCUCUUCUCUUAUUUUCUAGCGCACAUCCUAUUUCUCACACAACUUAAAUCCAACUCCCUAACUCCCUCCUUAUUUUUAGGAGAUGCCAACUCACAAAUCUUUCACACCUCCUUUUCUUUCUCAUGCACAAAACCAAUGCCCCUCUUCCUUUUUUUUUCUUUCACGCCUUCUUUCCUGCACCGUCCCAACAAACUUGUGCCUCUUCUCUUUUCCAACGCUCCAAAUUCCAUACCCCUUGAUCCCCAAAAUUAAUCGUAACCAUCUAUUGUUAGGGAGCCUUAUAAAUCUACUUACAAAACCCUAGCCAUACAUCCUUGCUUCUAUUAAUCCCACAUUGCCUACUCAAAUAAAUGUCAUACCUCCUAGCACCUAUAAAUAAGUUCCAAUACCUCAACGUAAAUUCAAUCAUCCAAUCUCCAGUGUUUCAGCAAGGAGGAUGAAAAGAACAAUGGCGAGUGGAAUUAACAUCAUAUGUGACUAGAAGCAUAGUCUUCGGGGGAGUAGAUAGAAUCUUUAAUUUUUCAAUCUUAUAGUUUAUUUUGAAUAUUCUUAUGUAUUUGUUUUGAUGCAAUUAAAUCCUGUAAGACUCUCUUUUGCCAUAAAAUUUUGAUUAUAUUCAUGAGUUGCUUUCAAGUUAUUAUGCUUGAAGCUUAUAUAGUUAAUUCUUGAAUAGUUUAUACAUUCGUAGGGACGGAUCGUGAUCAUAAGAUAUAAUCCGUACUCAAGCGAAAUAAGCUAUCUUAAAGAUUUACUCAUAGAUUUCUUUGUUUUCUUUUUAAGAUUUUUUAUAACUUAUUCUUUAGGAAGAUGAAUCGUGAUCGGGAGAUAAGAUUAAUACUCGAGUGAAAUAAGUUAUGUUCGAAUCUGAUCAUAAAACAUCUUAAUUAAUUAUUAUAAUUAUUUCAAAAGAAAAUAUCAAAAUUGUAGUUAAAGAUGGAAUCGAAAUCUGAAACUUUUAUUUUCAUACGAUUUUUUUUAAUUUAUUUUUUAGUUAAUUACUUCCAUAUUUAUUUCAUAAGAAUUUUUCUUAAAUUAUUCUUAUCAAAAAUAAAUCUUAGAUUUUUUAUUCUUAAACUUUGUUUUGUGUUGAAUCAACUUAGUCUUUUGAUCCCCGUGGACUCGACAUCCGACUCACACUAUUCUACUUAAUAGUUAUAUCGGAGUUAACUUUUAUCUUUGAUUGCUUGCGACAAAUGAUCAUGAUAUAAUUGAAUACAAGAUCAACUAUGUACCAAUAUUUCAGCACAAUCUUUAUCAUUGCAAUUAUCAUUCCCAUGCAGCAAAAUCCCUCACGUUAGUCACCAUCCUUAACAUGUAAACUUUUGUUGCCACUAAAUUUUUUAUGUGAUAUCCACGGACUAGAUUAUGCACAAGCUACUCACAUCAACCUACUCAUAGAUAUGGUUAGUCUCUUAAUUAUAACAGUAUCACCUCCUACCAAUGAAAGCAGUGGAGCAUAUGGACAAUCUCAUGUGCCUAGGUUUGGCACCAGGACAGCAUCACUCAUAGUGAUAUGAUUCCAAAUUAUCAAGAAACACAAAACAGAAUAGAGAAUUAGGGAGAAAAAAAGCAAUAGAACAAACUAGAUCAACCAAUCGAAGCAGCAAUUUUACAGCGAAGCACCAUCUCGAACUUGUGUCGAAGCCAAUUUGAGAUUAAAGCUAGUCUUUUUUUUCUUCCCCCUCUACCUAUUGAUUGGGUGGAUUUAAAAAAAAUAAAGGUGGAAGCAGGGGAAGAGAGAGGGAGAGAGGAAGAUACCGUCGUAGCUGACGGAAUCGGCGGUCUGCAUGAGAUUGCCGUGCACGUCGUAGGCGCGGGAGUAUGUAUGAGAUGAAAUCAAAGUCUUGAAUAUGUAUGGGACAAGAUUUUUCUUUUUUUAAUUCACGAUCAUGAUGGGCUGCUUGUGUCAAACAGCUAACAAAAACAUGAGUCUGAAUUUUUUUUUAUUUUUUUUUCAGAAAAAAGAACACUACCUUUGACGAAUUCUGCCUGAGUUUUUUGAGGGAGAUAGAUAGAGUACAUGAGCCUUGAAAGCAUAACAGCAGUUAAGCUAAAGCGAAAAAUCAAAUGAUUGUAAAUACUUCUUCACAAAAAUUAUUGAUAUGUUUAUAAUAUUUGCGUUGUGAGGGAUGAUGAUAUCCGAAACUUGAUGAUUUGAAGUCAGCCAAGAAUAGAAAAUCUUUGAAGCAAUCCUAACUAUAAUCCAUCCACCUCACAUUGGAUCCCUUUUUAUUUAAUUCUUUUUACCUCCCUGGAGAUCUGUGCAGUAAAAAACAAGGAAAAAAAGAUCAGAACGCAGAUUAAAAUAUGAGAGAGAAACAGUGCAGAUGUCAGCAAAGGGCAGACUGACCAUUGCUCUUCCGACGAUCGGUCUAUUUACCGGCAAAAUCUAUUGGACAGCAAAGUGGAGGAAGCCCAAGUCUUGUGGCACGCCACACGCGAAACGGCAAUAAAAUUGCAGCAACGGUAACGCCAAACCCCAACCCCACUUGACUGACGCUGGACUUGAUGUCAGCAGCUGCCGAUAUGGUAUAUAGAAACCAUCUACGAACUUGGAUAUUUUACUCCAAAAUCAAGUGGCCAUUGUGAACGUUUCUUUUUCAUUGCACUUUUGCAAUGUGAGAGCUUAUGGGUACCCGGCUCAUGGCUUCAUGUUUCCUUAGCCAAAUAUUUUAAUCUAUUUUUAGUAAUUAAAUAUUAUAUAUGUAUAGAUUUUUUUGAUGGCUGGAGAAGGAAUAUUGGUUUUUGGAAUCUUGGGGUUUUACAAAUCAAAGCAGAUACUACGGAAACAGGUUGGAACCAAUUGAUGCUAUAUAUUUUGAAUUCAAAUGAUAUCAUGAUGAUGUAAUAAGCAAUGUGGGGUGAAUUAUAUUAUUUUAUGUUCACAAGUAUCUCAAGCUGGUUUUUAUGGCAGUAUUGUUGAAUACCAGGAUAAAUGUUUUGGUUUUUAUUUUUUAUUUUUUUUUAAAAAAGAAGCAACCUAGAUGGGUAGAUGUAUUCUUCAAUAUUUCUCAAAAUCUUAUUAUCUAAGGGAUGAAUGUUGGCUUGAUUCGUUUAGGCGCUCGAACUGUUCUAGCCAAGUUGUUUGACUAAGCUGCACUACUCACCAAAAUCAACAUGAAAGUUGAAAACUCAUGAACUCUAAUGUUGGCAAAAAGCCCAAUGGGAGAAGACUUUAUUGUCUCUUCCUUCCUGGACCUCAUGGAUGCACACAAAGCGAAAACUAUAUAUCAUUCAUGUUUACCUCUAUCUCCACCCUCCCUUACGGUAUUGGGAUAGCAAGGAUUUGAGACAGACACCGGGGACAAAAAAAAGGGUUCAAAGAAAGAAAGGAUUGGGAUGAUAAAUUGACUAAUAAUUAAAUCUAUGACACAUGGCCGGACCACUAGAAGUUAUUUGUGUCCCAGUCUUUUUUUCCUUUCAAUUUUUUUGAAAAAUUAAUAAAUGAUGCUACCUAACCAGUUUACGGCAAAAGAUUAAGCUAUCAUGACAGUGAUGAUAAAAUUAUGGAUGGUAUUAAGUUGCCAAUCGAUCUCGGAAGUUUUAAGCUAUUAUUUGUCUCAGGCUUGACCACCUCUCUCUUCCUCCUUAAAACCCACCAUUGCCUCCUCAUAUGCUGUCCAAGAUUACCAAUUAAUAUAUGCUAACUAAUUGACCCAAAAAUUUAAAAUGUAAUGCACAUAUAUUAGGCUUAACAUGCCUCUAUCAUAUAUUAUCCAAGUUUCUAAGAUUAACAGAUAGUGUUAAACUCAUUGAUCUUAAAACCUAAGUUGUUAACCAAUUGGUCUUUAAAAGUUAGGUUGUCAUAAAAUAGAUAAUGCAAGAUUCCAAAAGGAACAAUAUGAAGGUUGGAUUAAUUACAUAAAUAAUGAGGAUAUUUGAAAUCAUAUCUUUCAACAAUCUAAGUUCUGAUACAUUAUUAACUAACCACUAGAUUACACCAAUUUAAGCUAUAAUAUGGCAUCAGUCAACAAUAUAUAAGAUUUAAUAGGUCAUAGUAUAUUAACUUAUAGAAGAAUUUGAAUUAUGGUUUUCCCCCAAAAAAAAAAAUUGCAUUAUGGUAUUUUCCUUUUGUUACUCACUAUGUGGGCUCCCCCUGAGUCUGAUGCGGACUAACUGCUCCGCCGAAUAGUGCUUAAAUUAUUUUUCUCUCAAUAAUCUAACAGUGCAAGCAAGUAGAAGACUAAACCCAAUGCGCAGCAGCCAAAUAUCUUGGAUCGAAGCAGAAACUUCGGCACAAAAACCCAUCAACCGGAUUUCCAAACUCACAUGCCUUGAUCACAUGACGAGCCUGUUAAAUACUUAAAUUAAGUUGAUGAAAACAAGCUCCGGAUGGCAGUCAAAGAUGCAUCACGUGAUUCGCUGCCUCCAUACAGUAACAAAAAAUAAAAAAAUUCUCAGAAUUCCAACAUAAAUCUACACUCCUCACCCACUCUAUGGAAGCACCGGUGUCUUCCUUCCUUUCUGCCUUUCUUCCACCUACCCCUAGUUUACUCAUGGUAAAGCUCAAAGAAGAGAGAAUGAAGGAGAUCAGAAUGGGAGUGCUCGUACUUGUUCUGAUAUUAAUGCUCUGCAUCAUGAGCUCUUCUUCACACACUGUGUGCCAUGGGAUCAAGGGCAGUAGUAGUGGAAGAGGUCGAACAGGGAGGAAGCUACUUUCUGGGGCAAUUCUAGCUCAGCAGCAGCAGGAUAUGAGGGUUGAUGGCACGGUAAAACCCGUCAACCAGGCAGUGGUGAGCUUCAGGAGGAUACCACCUUCUAACUCGAACCCCACCCAGAACAAGUAAGGCAGCUUUUACCUCCUUGUUUUUAUUCUUUCUUGGCUUCAAUCUGUUUGCGUUUCUAAGUGGAGUUGGUGAUGGUGUUAUAGGUCACGUCCUCGAGUGAAUGGCCAGGGGAACCAGUGAAUCGCAUGAAGGGGAGAGGGACUGGUGGCUUGCCGAGAGAGAGAGAGAUAGAGAGAGAGAGAGAGAGGAAGGAAGGAGUGUAGAGUUACGUUUCUUUGUUNNNNNNNNNNNNNNNNNNNNAGAGAGAGAGAGAGAUAGAGAGAGAGAGAGAGAGGAGGAAAGGAAGUGUAGAGUAGUUUCCUUUUGUUUGCUUUAUGUCUUCUGUUUCUUUGAACCUUCUGAGCUUGUAACCUUUUUCUGUGGUUUUCCGCAGUUCACUUUACAGAGGGAUGUGCGUGGAAAUUGGGUCGUACCUGCUUUCCAGCUUGCCUAGCUAGUUUUGUAGCUGUAGCACAAACAAACUUCUAUGUAUCUGAGAAAGAAAGAAGUGAAGGCUUUUUGUUCCAUUACAUUGUUCUCGUUUUCUUGUCAUUAUUGAUUCUAUUCUUCGGAAAAAACCACUAUCCAAUGCGUGCUAUGAUCUUAAAAACUUACAAAGUAUCUGAUAUAAUGUUUAUUCUUUUAUUCACUGUUAAAUGACAUCAUUGUGCCCAGUUUUAA